GCUUUGGGGGUGAUGGUGGUGGAGGUGGGGACUUGUACUUGUAAGGGUGCUUGGGUGGUGAUGGUGGUGGAGGUGGUGGGGACUUGUACUUGUAAGGGUGCUUGGGUGGUGAUGGCGGUGGAGGUGGUGGAGACUUAUACUUGUAAACUGGAGAUGGUGGGGGUGGAGACUUGUACUUGUAAGGGUGCUUGGGUGGUGAUGGUGGGGGUGGGGGUGGGGGUGGGGACUUGUACUUGUAGGGGUGUUUGGGUGGUGAUGGUGGUGGUGGUGGUGGGGACUUGUACUUGUAAGGAUGCUUGGGUGGUGAUGGUGUUGGAGGUGGAGGAGACUUGUACUUGUAAGGAUGCUUGGGUGGUGAUGGAGGAGGUGGUGGGGACUUAUACUUGUAAACAGGAGUUGGUGGGGGAGGAGAUUUGUACUUGUAAGGCUUCUUGUGUGGUGGUGGUGGUGGUGGAGAGUAGACCGGAGGAGGCGGUGGUGGAGACUUGUAAUGGUAAGGUGGUGGUGGGUACUUCUUAGGAGGUGGUGGAGGAGAAGAAUAAGUGUAAUCUGCUGAGGUUUCAAAAGGCAAAUUGAGAGACACUGCUAAAACUAAAAGAGUGAGAAAGAGAGAGGUCAUUGAUGACCCCAUUUUCCCCAUACUUCUAAAAAUGGGUUUAAUUUGGUUAUGCUCUUAGCAACCCUCUUCACUCCCUUUAUAUAGACUUUUUUUUUAACCUUAUAAUCAUGAUAAAAGUUUGAAGAUGGACCGAACCUUCAGCAGCAUGUAAAAAAGACAUUACGUUUAGGUUAUUAGCAUGGUAUGAUAUAAUAAUUCUCUAUUCUCUUCCUUGUCGUUUCCCAUAAAUUCAAUUUUCUCUAUUAAAUAUUUAUCAAAUUCAUUUCUCACUCCCUAUUAAUUCUUUAAUAAGUUUAUAGAAUAUGAAUAAUUAAUCAUUAAACUCGAUUUAAUAAAUACUUUAAACAAUUAAUAAUUUAUCUUAUUUUAUGCUUUAAUUAAGGCAUCAAAUCAUAAUCCUAUUUUAUAUUUUGAAAAUUUAUCAUUUUUUAAAGAACUUAAUUGAUUAAAAUGUGAUUCUAAUAUUUGGCAGGAAAAAUUAGUUUACUUUCCUUAGAAUGUAAUAUUCUUUUGAGAGUUAUUUUCUUACUAAUAAUAGAAAGUGAUAAUUCGUGAGAAAAUUACUUUCACAUGUAAAUAAAAAUUAUUAGAACAAAAAAUUAACUUUCUUUUAUUUAUGUUUAGGUACUAAUUAACUUAUUGAGAUAAAGAUAGUUGUAGCUUGCUUUUUCAUGUCAUUUUCUUAUCUUUACAACUUCAAACCAUUAUUCUAGAGUAAGUUUUUUUUUUUUUUUCUAAAUAGUAGAUAAAUAUCUAUAUUUUAUUUUGCUAUAAGAAAAUUAUAUUUUUUAGCAUACAAAACUUAAAGACAACUUGUAGAAUCAAGUAAUUCUAUGAAAAGCAAGCCUAUUCACAUAUAAUACCUAUUACUCUAGCAAUAAUAAUAUUGACAUUGUCUAAAUUUUCUAAUAAAAAAAUUAUAUAAUUUGUAUGUGUUAAAAAUGAAAAAUAUGGCGGUUAUUAAAAAAGAUUUCAUACAUCUAAAUGAAACUACUAAUUUAAAAAUUAGUAUUGAGAUAAUUUCAAGUUAAUAUUGAAUAUACUUGAAUUUGUACAUACAAAGUAAUGAGGGUAAAAAUUUUGUAAAUUGUACAUCUUCACAAUCUUGAGUUAAUAUACAAUUUUUUAAUGUAUUAAUAUAAUGUUUUAGAUCAAGAUGUGAAAAAACAUAACUCAAAUAUUUGUUAAUAAUAAAAAAUUAUUAAUAAAUAUUUAAUUCAAAAUUUAUUAAUAAUAAAAAUUAUUGAAAAAUAUUAAAUACGUUAAUAUUAUUUUUAUAUAAUAAUGAUAAUUUUGUACAGUAAUCUUAUAUUCUCAAUAAGUGUUAAAUGUCUCAAGAUUUUAAUUAAUACUUUUCAGUGGUUACCAAACAUUGUGAAAUAACUUCUUGAACAAUGAUAUUCUUAUCAAUCACAUUCCAUUAGAAAUUUAACAUAGGAAAGCACCAAAACAACCGCUUAAAAAUGAAUGUGCAUGAUUAAAAUCGCGAUAAGUCUUGUUUAUCUAAAAUUUAAAUAUUCAUUUUAUUAUUUAAAAUAUAUUAAUUUUCCAAAAACAAUCAUUAAUAUUUAUAUUUCUAAUUUUAAACAUUCUUUUGUUAAUUAAAUGAUAGUGUAAACGGUUAAACUCAAAUCGAAAGCAUUUUAUCUUAUAGUAGAUUAUAUGACUCAUAUUAUGGUUGAAAGUAAAAUGUAUAAAAUCAAUACAAACAUCAAAUAUUAAACUUGCACUCAAUAGAUUUUAAAAUUUCUAAUUUUACCACUAAUCUAUUUUAAGAUUUUUAAAAAAUCGUACUUUAGAUUAUCUAAUUUAAAUUUUAAAAUUAUUAAAAAUAAAAAAAUUCUUAAUAAAAAAAUUUGUUUCAAAUUUUUAACCUUUUAAUAUAAUUGUUUUAACUGGUUAUCUAAACUAAAUAAAAACUUAUUUAGUAUAAAAAAAAGUGGUAAAUGUGAAAGGAGCACAAAUCACAACUACAAUAUGCUACAUUAGUUUUAUAAUUGGAUUAAUUUAAUCACCGGCAGAGGAAAUGUGUUAGUUCUAGCUACCACCAAUUUAUUUUAAUUCCUUUAAAAAUAUUAGAAAAAAUCAAUUUGAUUUUUAAUAAUAGAUCUAAUUACUUAAAGGAACAUCGGUGAUGUCCACAUGGCAUACAAGGUUAAGCAUAUAAAAAAAGAACAAAAAGAUUAAGUAUCUUUGCAAGAUAGCUUUCUGAAAUAAAUAAAACUUAAAUAAAAACAAUUUUAUUAUCAAAAUAAAAAGAAAAAAGAAAAGAAAUACUAGUGUUUUUAAUUAAAAUAGAGUGAUCUGGGUAGAAUCUUUUACUUAAAUACUGACAUUGACUUUAUAAGCUAUUUUUUAUCAAAAGAAGAAAGAGAAAAGCAUCCGAUUGAAGAUGUGAAUUAUUAAAUUAAAAUUAAUCAUACAUGUAAAAUUUUAUUGUGCUUUUUUCUAGCCCUCCGAAUGACAUUAUGCUUUGAUUACAACAUUCUUGCUCAGAGAUCGGGUUUGAAGAUGAACUCGGAUGCAUUUAGAUUUUUACAAGUAAAUUAAAGGAUGUUAGAACUUGUAUUCCGAUAAACUUAUAAUACAGAAAGCAAGUAAUAUGUGACUGUACAUAAUGGCUAUGAGGCGAGGAUAUGAUAUGAGAAGAUAGAGAUGAGAGAUUGCACUUAAGGGGUUAACACCACUUUCCUUUUUGUGUUUGGUCCCCAAAGCAUCUCUUAUUGGCUGAUGUUGCAAGGCCGUCCCAUAAGUUGGUCUAAAAGUGCUUGAUAGCUAGAAUUAAUAUUGUGGUAUAACAUAUGUCACCACUAGGUUUGAAUAAGGUUACACAGUGAUUUGAUGAAGAUUUAAAAAAGCAUAGAGAUAAUUAUGUUGCAAAUAUUGUAAAAGUAAGAGCUAAAUUGUUUGGCUUUAUUAGAGUUUAGACUCUGUUAGUCUAUUACCAUUCUCUAUUAGUCUGUUACCAUUUUGUUAUAUAGGCUGUAAUAUUGUUAGAAAGCAGUUAGCAGCUGUUAGUCAUAGUAGUUAGUCAUACAAAUAUAAAUUCUAUUCAUGUAUUGUUCAAAGGUAAGCUAAUAAUAUCAGAAGCGAUUUAAUGUAUUCAUUCUACUUUUUUUUUAUUCUUCAUAAUACAGUUGUUAACAUGGUAUCAGUACCCUAAUUUCUUAGAGGUCGCUUCUAUUGUAGAUCCAUGGCCAAUUCCACUGAUUCUACCUCCACUGGUCGUAGCAGUCCCUCGUUCUCGAUUCAUGUUUGGUUCAAUCGUUUCCUCGUCGUCACACUGAGAAGUUAGAUGAAAGAAAUGUUAUGCAAUGCCAACAGCAUAUCCUAUUGAUAAUUGAAGGGUAUGAACUCAUAAGAUUUUUAGAAGGGACGUUACCUACUCCGCCUCGCUUUGUGUCAUCUCCCGAUGGAACCUUGGCUUCGGCUCCCGAUGCAUUCCUGUUUGUUCAGCAAGAUAAGUUACUCGCUCUUUGGUUGCUUUCUACGAUUAGUGCUCCUUUGUUGUCCUCUUUUAUAGCUGCUAAGACACCGUGUGAGGUUUGGAGCACUGUGAAUCACCUCUUUACUGUUUCCACCAGAGCGAAGUUAUCGCGUAUUAAGCAUGAACUCCACUCCAUCAAGAAAGGCAUGAUGACUGUCAAAGAGUAUAUUAUUAAGAUUCAAAAUACCUGCACCUUACUCGAGGCAUCUGGAUUGGUGGUUUCGAAGGCCGAGAAGGUAGAGAUCAUUCUUGCUGGCCUAUCGUCAGAUUAUGAUGUCGUUUUAACACUACCAUAGUUCUCUUCUGAAACUCUUCCGUUACAGAAGAUAGUUGUUGUGCUACUGAAGUUCGAAAGCCGUCAGACUCAUGUCGUGAAUGACAUACCUUUUCAUGCUCAUCUGGUAGAGGCCACUUCGGCGACAUCGGUGGAGGACUCCGUACAUGGUAGCCAUCCUCCUCCUGGUGCUCGUGGGCAUGACUUUCGACUCGGCUUCAGUUCCAGAUCUAUGGUUGCUAUGGACAUCUGGCACAACGCUGUUAUUAUCAUUUCAACCGCGAAUACAGUGGUCUAUCUGCUCUGACCAUGGCGCAGGCUUCGCUUUUGUGCUGGGCACUAUUCGUGUGACAAUGUUUUUGGUGCAACUGGUCUCUUGACCGGCUGGUUUCCAUCAGCUCAUCCUAGUUCAAACCCCUUCGAUGUGCCUGGACAGUGUGCCGAUUCUUCGGUGACGGUACCGGCGCAUUUCCCUUAUGGCUCCUCUUGGGGAGGAUGGCCACAUUUGUAAAACAAUGCCUCCCUUGUGCCAAGUCUACCGAAUGUUAGGGUUUCUAACCUUUUUGCUCCUAAUUUUAACAAUGAGGCAAGCUAAGUGUUUGGGCCCGCUGUUGAACCAGGCUCAAAUAGUGACCAAUCUGGUGGUCCUCACUUGCCGCUGAAGAUGGGCUAACGCAUUGGGCCAUUCGCUGGUGUUCCUAGGCCAACUGCUUCAGGCCAAGAUUUUGGCCUAAAUGGAAUUGGUAGGCCAGCCAGUGCUCGUCCUAGCAUUGGAUAGGGUUCACUUGGGUCAAAUGUCAAUUUUAUUGGACUUGAGGGUUCUUUUGGGUAUAGACAAGAGUUUGGGCCCACCACUGGCAAUGUUUCAGUGCCAAUUAAUAGAUCAUGUGUUCCAUGGCACACAAAAUCGAGGGCACGCGUUAUUGAUUUUGAUUCUUCGCUGUGCGUUGGGUUGCAUCGCUUUACUAAUUUUCACGCAUCCGAUUUUUUUACUACCACUGGGUCUAAUGCCAAUACAACUCCAUAUAGGUCUAAUUUUGAUAAUGGUAAUUCUUACAUUCCUAUGCCUAUAGGGACCUCAUCAUGGUGUCUUGAUUUAGGGGCUACGCAUCAUGUCUGUUGAGAAGUCUCUGCCUUGAAUAAGUCUACGCCAUACUCAAGUACAUCUCCUUUCUUCACGGAUGAUGGUAUUCCUACAAAAAUAUCGUAUGUUCGGAAUCUUAUCUUGUCUAUGAAAACCAAAUUGCUUCAUUUGUCUAAUGUUUUGUGUGUGCCAAAUAUACGGAAGAAUUUGCUAUUUGUUUCUCAGUUUGCUAAUGACAAUAACGUGUUCUUUAAAUAUCACCUGUCUUAUUGUGUUAUUAAAGACAUCCAGACUCAUGAAAUUUUACUACGGGGCUACACUCGUGAUGGGCUCUAUUAUUUUUCGUCGGUUACUCUUGCUCUGUUUGUCGUUGUUCCUUUUUUCAUAGCACUGGGAUCUAGAGUCGCAAUGCAUAUGAUGAUUGUUUUGCAUUAUGGCAUCACAGGCAUAGUCAUUUGUCUGCCUCGAUUGUUAAACUUGUUCUCGAUAAGUGUCAAGUUGUUUCAAAAUAAAAUGUGCCUUGAAAAUAUUUGUAUUGCAUGUCAAAACGGGAAGUCUCACAAACUGCCUUUUUCAAGUUCUACUACUGAAUAUACAAAUUUGUUUGAUUUGGUUGUCUCUAACUUAUGGGGACCAACGUCUGUUGUCUGUAGAAAUAAUUUAUAUUAUGUUUUGUUUAUCGAGAUGUGUAGUUGAUAAACCGUAAUUUAUACAUAUUUUUAUCCUAUGUUUGGCACAUUUAUAGAUGAUUUAUCCUUAGAUUUGGUGAAUUCGAUGCUCCUAAUCCUUUAAUUUCAUAUUUUAUACUUAGGAGAGCAUAGGAGGGCAAAAAGAGCGAGAAACGGGCCGAAAACGGAAAAAAUAGACCCACAUGGGAAAUCAACAUGGCCUGGACUUCCUCACACUGGUAAGCCACACGGCCGUGUCCAUUUGGCAGGAUCGAAGCAAGACUUACACGAGUAGACUACACGCCCGUGCCUUUUUAAUAGCCUUGACCACUGUCUGGAGCAAUCGCGCACGGGCAUGUCCCUGUCGAGCCCAAGUAUAGUCUUAUUCGGAAAAGGUCUAUUUUAAGGGCUCUUAGGCAUUCUAAAGCUUAUUUAAUCACCUGAGAAGGCACUUAAAAGGGGGGACACGGAGUAGGAAGCAAGGAAUUACUCGAAGAAAGCCGAUUGAUCCAUCUCAGAAGCCUGAUUAUUCAUCAAGACUGAAAAUCUCCCUUCAAUUACCAUUCAGGAGUUUUGGGUUUUCUUUAUGUUUUGUAUUCAUUAUUCUUCUGAGAUGUUUUCUUUUAUAAUUAUGAUUUAAACCCUCUAAAUACCUAAGGGGAAUGAAACCUAAACGGAUCUUGUUAUUAUUAUCUGAAUUAUAUGAUAAAUAUUUGACUUGUUUUUAAUUAUAUGUUCUUAAUUCUUGUCUUAAUAUUCCAGGAUAUUGAUUCAAGUUAAUGCGCUUAUUCAGAGGAGCAAAAGUCCCUGUCUAAGAGUAAAUUUGUCAUAAUUAAACAGAGUUGAUUGCACACCUAAAGAUAGGGUAACAAGAUUUUGCCGAAUUAGGGUGAAACCUAAUAAGGAGAUCCAUAGAUCGAGUUAAUGCAACACUAGGGCGUUAAAUAGAAAGAGAUUUCAAUUAAUCAACCUAGGGUUAGAUGUUAUUAGUCUUGAGAGAGAUAAUAAUAUAACUUAGGGAUUUGUACGGAUCAUGUCAAAUGGAUAAAUCGACUGAUUCAGAGUCAAAUAACAAGUGAAGUCUAGGUGGAUUUUUCCUUGGGUAUUGUCCUAAUCAAGCGAAUUUUCUAAAAGUAUUUUCCCCAAUUUUUCAAGCGAAUUUUCUAAAAGUAUUUUCCCCAAUUUUCUUUCUCUGCACCCUUAGUUUAGUUAAUUAGUUUUAAUAAACAAAUCCUUUAAUUUUUAGGUUAGAUAAUAAAAAGAAAGUGAUUACUAGUACUCUUGGUUCCUUUGGGUUCGACAAUUCGGUCUUGCUAAAGCUAUAUUACUGUUCGAUAGGUACACUUGUCUUUAUCGUGAUAAUAGUUGGUUUCAAUAACGAUCAUUUCUAAAUUAUUUAAAACUUAUCGCAAGUAUCAUGAAUCAAGUUUUUGGCGCCGUUUCCGGGGAACUAAGAUAUUAGGAACACUUGAUUUUUAUUACUUUAGCCAUUUUUCUUUAUUUUUACUUUAAAUUUUUAUUUUCUUUUCUAAUUUUUCUUUUAUUUGUUCCUGACAGGUUUUUAUAGUUUAUGAUUAGAAGAAACCCGUCGGGACCAUUACUGUUUGAUAGUGAGAUCGAUCGCACAGUUCACAGAAACCAAAGAAAAAUAAGACGAAGCUUAAGAUACAAAAAGGAAGAGUAAGACGACGAUACUUCAACCACAAUCGAGAAGAUGGCUGAAAACCAGGAAAAUUUGCUACCUCCUGUGAUUUCUGCUGAUCCAGUAAAUCAGAAUCCUACUCCACGCACUAAGUAUGAUUAUGCUAAACCUACUUUAACAGGAACUGAGUCAAGUAUAGUUAGGCCUGCUAUUGCUGCGAAUAAUUUUGAACUGAAACCUAACACAAUUGAAAUGAUACAGCAAUUUGUUCAGUUUGAUGGUUUGCAGGAUGAGGAUCCAAACAACCACUUGGAAAAUUUUCUAGAGUUUUGCGAUACAUUUAAAAUCAAUGGCGUUUCUACUGAUGCCAUUCGCCUUCAGUUAUUCCCUUUUUCAUUGAGGAACAAAGCUAAACAGUGGUUGAACUCGUUACCACAAGGGUCAAUCACUGCUUGGGAACAAAUGACCGAAAAAUUUUUAUUAAAAUAUUUUUCGUCGACUAAAACAGCCAAAUUACGUAAUGAUAUCUCUUCAUUUAUGCAAAUGAAUAUAGAAACACUCUAUGAUGCAUGGGAGAGAUACAAGGACCUUUUAAGAAGAUGUCCUCACCAUGGGUUACCACUCUGGCUACAGGUUCAAACGUUUCACAAUGGCCUGAAUCCUUCGACUAGACAGAUGAUUGACGCAGCUGUUGGAGGAACUAUCAAUAAUAAGACACCUGAGGAUGCUUAUGAAUUUAUAGAAGAGAUGUCACUAAAUAAUUAUCAAUAGCAAGUCAUGAGGACAAAACCGAUGAAAGCAACCGGGGUUUUUAAUGUUGAUUCGGUCACCAUACUUUCUAAUCAGGUAGAACUUUUGAAUAGAAAAAUUAACAGUUUUUUUGGUUCUUCACAGGUUCACCCAGUAAUGCAAUGCAAUGCAAGUGGGGGAGAAUUGAGCAAUUCAGAAUGCCCACCCUAUGGCCACAACAUGAAAAACAAGCAAUUAAAUUAUAUGGAUAAUAAUCCUCGACCUCAAAAUAAUCCUUAUAGUAACACUUACAAUACAGGAUGGAGGAACCACCCAAAUUUCUCAUGGGGAGGCCAAGGGAAUCAGAGACCACCACCAUUUCCAGGUUUCUAACAGCAACCUUACCAGCAAAAUAAAAAUUUGAACCUUGAGGAAAUGCUAACAAAAUUCAUCUUGGUGUCAGAAACUCGUUUCCAGAAUACCGAGACAGCACUUAAAAAUCAACAAGCGUCGAUCCAAGGGCUCGAAACUCAGAUAGGCCAGCUCGCUAAAUUGAUAUCUGAAUGAACACAAGGUAGCCUACUGAGUAACACUGAAUCUAACCCAAGGGAGCAACUCAAUGCGAUUGCCAUUCAAGAUGAGGAAGGGUUAGUUACAUCUAAACCAGAACCGAGGCAAGAAACUGUGGUAAGUAAAGGUAAAGGUAAGGUAAACCACAUCGAGCAGAAACCGGUAAGUAAAGAGUACAAACCACGAGUGUCAUACCCAAAUGCGACAAAGAAAGACCAUACAGAUGAACAAUUUUGUAAACUCCUUAAACUAUUAAAGAAAUUACACAUUAACUUACCGUUUAUUGAAGCCCUUUCGUAGAUGCCGAACGCAGUCAAGUUUUUAAAGGAGCUUUUAGGAAACAAGUGAAAGUUGGAUGAAGCGUCGCAUGUGGAGUUGAACGUAGCUUGCUCAGCUAUUCUACAAAAUAAGCUACCCAACAAAUUAAAAGAUCCAGAGAGUUUUACAAUUCCUUGCUUAAUUGGUAGCUUAGAUGUUAAUAAUACUUUGGCUGAUUUAGGGGCUAGCAUCAAUGUCAUGCCUUACAAAAUGUUUAAGUAACUAGGUCUUGAGAAACCCAAACAAACUAAGAUGAGUAUUCAAUUAACCGAUGAAACAAUUAGAUUUCCUAGGGUUAUUAUUGAAGAUGUACUCAUUAAAAUUGACAAAUUUAUAUUCCCAGUUGAUUUCGUUGUUCUAGACAUAGAGGAGGAUAGUAACGUUCCUUUAAUUUUAGGGAGCCCUUUUUAGCAACUGUUAGAACAAUAAUUGAUGUUGGCACAGGUGAACUCACACUUCGUGUGGGAGACGAAACAAUCACCCUUUAAGCUCGUAAUUCAAGUAACACAUCAAAAAUUGAAGGUGGUUGUAUAAAUCAUACUAUUAAAACUGAUCAUUUGGUGAAACCUUCCUGGCAGGAAACACGUUCAAAGAACACACCUGAGCCAUGUUCGAGUAACGACAAAAGACCUAUCUAUGAAGAAUGAAGGCUACAACUUGAGGAACUAGAUGAAUAGCUGACACAUAAACCGAGGACACACGAUAAACCAAAACCAUGCCAUGACGAGCUCAAUAUUUCACCAAAUCAACUUAAGGUUGGAGACAAAGUACUACUAGAUGCGGUAGACCCUCGUAUUGCUACGUCUGAACCUAACGGAGCAAUCCCUCUUACAGUACUCAACAUUUUCCCAUAUGGUACAGUCGAGGUUAUUCAUCCCAAACUCGGCACUUUUAAGGUAAACAGUACUCGUCUUAAACCUUAUUUUGAUAAAAUUGAUAGCAGGGAUGAGGAGUGUGAACUCCUCACAUCACAAUGACCAUGCAACAGAAAGGUAAGUCGAGCUUAGACUAUAAAUAAGCGUUUUUCGGGAGGCAACCCGAGCAUUAAUGAUGUUAACUUUUUUAAAAUUUUAGUUUUUUACAUCUAAUCACUAACUGAGUCAGUGAAACACAGGUUUUCUAAUCUACACGGCCAAGCACACGGACAUGCCUUAGGCCGUGCUCACACCAUGGGAGGAGACACAGCCGUGCGAUACUGCCGUGUGAAAACAGGGUAAAAUUUUUCCUUAACACGGGAUGUGAUAAGUUGCCACGGCCGUGCGAUGUAGCCGUGGGCGAGUCUUUCAAACCAACACAGGCGUGUGACACACCCGUGUCUAUAAACCAUGGUUGAAACUGAGAAUUUAGCACGAGCAUGUCCUAUCAACCGUGCUCAAGACUGAAAAAAGAACACGGGCGUGGACAUCUAUACACGGGCAUUGGAGAAGAGAAUGAAACAGAACAUGGUCGUGUGACACAGACGUGUGCACCAACACGCCCAAAGAGCACGGGCGUGUGAAGAAUUUCAGACACGCCCAAAUUUGAAAAUUACGAUAAACACGAGCUGAAAUAAGGGCACAUGGGGGUGCCCCACGACCGUGUGCCCCAAAAUCUAUAUAAACCCCUUACUAUUCAUCACCCCCUUCCCCAAAAUCUCUAACCCUAGCCGCUGCAACUUCACAUGCCCUACCUGCCACGCCCGUGCACCGUCCACAGCACCACCUUUGACAACCCAAAGCUCCUCCCUCUUACGUUUGUACAUUUUUUUCCUUCUAUUCUCUUCAUUCUUUUACUUAUUUGAUGAUAUUUUAUUUUAUUUUGAGUAAAUAAUCAUAGUUAUAAUGAUAGAAUACUUAUGCUCUUUGUUAAGAAAUUUACCAUUUUAAUUGAUAUAUUUUGCUGCAUUUAUCCACUUUUCUUGUUUCCAUAGAUUUCAUGCUUACCCACACCAUAUUUCAUACUUAUUAAACCCACAUGCAUUCAUUCAAUAGAUAUUUCCAUUAGCAUUACUCUCGUAGUCCUAUUCAUAGUAAUGACUUAAUAUAUCUGAUUGGGUUAUUUUUAGUAUAGUUGUUCUUUAGUACAUGACUUCUAUGAAGUAUCUCUAUUAGUUUUACCAUGCAUAUUUUCUAUGCUAUUGCUGGGGAGUAAUUUUAUUUUUUAUUUUUUCUUGCCAUUGUAGGUAUACUAUCUCAACCUUACGUGGUAAGGAGACCGCCAUCCCCUCUUCGAAGAAAAGGAAAGGAGCAACGUCAUCCUCAGGUCCUACCGCUGAGAUCCGUUACCCUUUCCUCCAGUUUCCCUUUGGACCCCAGGAGGAACUAUUUCAGAUAUUACGGGUCCGACCCUUAGGUGUAGGCCACUGCAUUGACUGGGCUGCACUUAAAAAAAUUCAAAUGGCUGACGUGGUCCAAGCCCUCCUGACGACUACCCGUGGAGGCUUUUCUUUGAGAUCAUCGAGCCGAUGUACCACGAGCUCACAAUGGAACUCUACUCGACCUUCCAUCUUCAAGUCGCCAUGAUAAACUGCGACGAUCCUAGAACGGUCCAAUUCCACCUCAGUGGUCUAGUGCGCCAGUUGAGCGUACCGAAGUUCAGAAUUGCACUAGGGCUGUAUAUGGAAGAGUUCAUGGAUGACAACGAACUUGACACCCUCUAUUGCCACAUCCACUACUCUCUCUCCAAAUGCUGGAAGGACUUUGUCCCUGCCUCGGCCACCUAUGAUCCUAACUACUCUAAGGCAUCAGCCCUCACCCCAUCCCUGUGAUACCUACACGCCAUCUUAGCCCACACUCUGACAGGGCGGCGAGAGAGCACCGGCAUCAUCAACACUCACGACGCCUACUUUUUAUAGAGCAUGGCAAACGGGCACGUCUUCGACCUUGCCUAUUUCAUUGCUCUCGCCAUCCGCCAUCAGACGGAGCGGCAUAGGAGAGGAGUUAUCACCAUUAGCCACUAUGUGACUCGACUGGCACGGCACUUCGGGCUCCUCAACACAGCAGCAUAAUCAUCCUCACUCACUCUCAUUGGUCAUAUGUCCCCUCAAGGCAUCUCGAGUAUGCUACAUAUGAGGAUGCUCGAGAAACGACGUGGAACUUACCCUCCUCAGUACCGCCUCGUCCAGUCCACUAAAGAGGAGAACCCAUAAGACAUUACUGAUGAUGUCCCUCCACGUCAUGAGGACCCACCGUCUCAACCAUCACCCAUCCAUCGUCCAGUUCAUGCGGUGGCUUCAUACUCUGAUAUCUCUAAGCACCUUACUCGAUUUAAGCAGCAGUGUUUUCAGUGCUUUGAUCACAUUGAUGCUACUCUUCAUCAGAUUUGUCAGCACCUUCACAUCUCAUCGCCACCACCACCUCGCGAACCAUCCGGCGAUGCUGAUGUUUAAAGACUUUUUAUUUUUUAUUUUUAUUUCCACUUUUAUCUUUAUUUAUCUUCUUUAAGUAGUUUUUAUUUUAUUUUCCUUUAAUAUUAUUUCAAUUUUAGGUUUUAUAAUUUUUAUUGAAUAAUUUAUAGUUUUGGCUAUUUUAUUACGAGUAAUUAUGCUUCCUUAUAUUUCCUAAAGAGUUCUUGAUUUUAUCACAGUUAUAAAGAGCUCUAAAGCUCAUCAUCACUUAGGAACUAAAAAAUCACUGGAAAAGGUUCUCCACAACUGUCAAGUCCUGCUCGACCACGACCACAGCUACUACCAGAUAUAAUAUUCUGUUGGCGCAGGACUUAUGGACUAAUGAACCUCUACCACCACCGGAGUAUCCUCCUCCACUCUCAUCAUUGCCUUGGCUGAUUAUUCUCCAUAACUCCAAUUGAAGGAGUUCAUUCAUCAUUCAGGAAGUUUAACUUCUCUUCUUAUCUUAUGAGUAUUUAUCUAUAUUUUUCAGUAUAUCUAUCUUUGUACAUUGAGGGCAAUAUACAUCUUAAGUGUAGAGGGUCUUUUAUAUCAUUAUCAGAAAAAUCCCUGAAUUUUAUCUUGUUCUCAAAUCAUCUUCUCAUAUCAUUAUUAGAAUAAAAUUUGAUUAAUUUAUGAUUGUUAUUGAUAUGUCUUCAAUUAAAACAUAGGCAUUCAUGUAUUGAUUGUUUAAACUUUAAGGAAUUAGAUAAUCAAGCAGGAUAAGUUGAUUUUUGAGAAUUAAAAAUUUUUAGGUUGUUUCCCCAAGUUUAGGUAUUAUCUCGAGUUAAAAUUCACAGGGUUAACAUCAACAAGCCAUAAUUUCUGUAAGAUCUUGAGCCUUUAGAGCAACUAUUAUUUCUUUCAUGCUCACUGUUAUUAUUGAUAAUGAGUGUGUCAAUAUUGAUUUAUUAUUCUAGAACUUGCUUGAUUAUGCAUGUCAAGACCACACCCUUGAGUUAAUAUGUCAAUAUGAUAAAGGCACCUAGGUUUAACCCACUCACUCCAUAAAAGCAUACCUUCAUAAUUUACCCUUAGUGAACCCCUUUGAGCCUAACAAGCCAUUAAUUGAUUUACCCUCAAUGUUAACCCAUAACACAUUAUUGUUGAAAUCCCCUAAUUUGAUCCCUAUUUUUGUCGAGAUUUGAUUUGAAUUAUUGCAUAGCUAUGUUUUAUUCUUCGUUGCAAUAAUUAGCAAAGUCCUAUGUUAUUUCACUUGUUUAUUUCACUUGUUCCUAAAAAAAAAUACAAUACUUACUUACAUAUUAAUAGUAAUUCGUCAUUUUUGAGCUUAAGUGUUAAUUCCAUAUUCUAAGAAGAAGCUCACUCGUAUUCAACUUAUAAUUAGUUGUUUUUCUAGUUAGGUGAUUUUUUUAAUUCAAUCUCGAUUCUAACCUUUCCUUUUAGCUUGUGACCACACCCCCUAACCAAAGCCACGUUACAACCCUCUAAAGACCUUUUGAUUGAUGUAUCAUCUCAAUAUAUAGUGGUGGAGAUUUGAUUUUCUGCAAGCCUAUGGUAAUAACUUUUCAUAUUGACUAAUGAGUGCUUCAUUUAUUAUCCUUAAACACCUCGAGUGAUUUGAGUGAAUCUUUAGUGAGGAUGUUAAACUCCGUGAUAUUUUGAAUCAAAGGUAAUCACUUAGAUGAGGGGAGACACCUAUGUUUUCGUGAUGAAAUGCUCAACUUGGAAUGUUUGAAACUUUGAUAUUCUUCUAGUUGAAUUCUCCAUGUAUGAUUACUUAUGAUUUAUUUUAAGAUAUUAUUGAUAGAGAUUAUAGAUUGAGAAGAAUUUAUUUUGAUUGUGAGUUGAGGAUUUUGCUUGAGGACAAGCAAACGCUUAAGUGUGAGAGUUUUUGAUAAACCGCAAUUUAUACAUAUUUUUAUCCCAUGCUUAGCACAUUUAUAUAUGAUUUCUCCUUAGAUUUGGUGAAUUUGAUGCACCAAAUCCUUUAAUUUCAUGUUUUAUACUUAGGUGACCAUAGCAGAGUAAAAAGAGCGAGAAACAGGUCGACAACGGAGAAAAAUAGACCCACAUGGGAAAUCGACACGGCCUGGACUUCCUCACACGGGUAAGCCACACGGCCAUGUCCAUUUGGCAGGAUCGGCGUACAAUUUACACAGGUAGACUACAUGCCCACGAUUAUUUAGCAACCUUCACCACGGUUUGGAGCAAUCGCACACGGGCGUGUCACACAGGCGUGUCCCUGUCGAGCCCAAGUAAAGUCCUAUUCGAAAAAGGCCACUUUUGAUGGCUCUUAGGCAUUCUAAAGCCUAUUUAAACACCUGAGGAGGCAGUUAGAACGGGGGGACACAGAGUAGGAAGCAAUGAAUUACUCGAAAAAAGCCGAUUGAUCCAUCUCAGAAGCUGGAUUAUUCAUCAAGACUGAAGAUCUCUCUUCAAUUUCCAUUCAAGAGUUUUGGGUUUUCUUUAUGUUUUGUAUUCAUUAUUCUUCUAAGGGGAAUGAAACUUAAGACGAAUCUUGUUAUUAUUAUCUAAAUUAUAAGAUAAAUAUUUGACUUGUUCUUAAUUAUGUAUUCUUAAUUCUUGUCUUAAUAUUUCAGGAUAUUGAUUCAGGUUAAUGCGCUUAUUCAGAGGAGCAAAAGUCCCUGUCUAAGAGUAAAUUUGUCAUAAUUAAGUGGAGUUGAUUGCACGCCUAGAGAUAGGGUGACAAGAUUUUACCAGAUUAUGGUGAAACCUAAUAAGGGAUCCAUAGAUCGAGUAAAUGCAACACUAGGGCGUUAAUUACAAAGAGAUUUCAAUUAAUCAACCUAGGGUUAGAUGUUAUUAGUCUCGAGAGAGAUAAUAAUAUAACUUAGGGAUUUCUACGAAUCAAGUUAAAUGAACAAAUCGCCUGAUUCAGAGUCAAAUAACAAGUGAAUCUAGGUGGAUUUUUCCUUGGGUAUUGUCUUUAUUAAUCGAAUUUUCUAAAAAGUAUUUUCCCAAUUUUUAGGCUAGAUAAUAAAAAGAAAGUAAUUACUAGUACUCUUGGUUCCUUUGGGUUCGACAAUUCGGUCUUGUUAAAGCUAUACUACUGUUCGAUAGGUACACUUGCCUUCAUCGUGAUAAUAGUUGGUUUUAAGAACGAUCAUUUAUAAAUUAUUUAAAACUUAUCGCAAAUAUCAUAAAUCAGUAGUCGUUUUACAUGGAUUUAUCUCAUUAAAUGAAUGUCUCAGAUGGUUGACUAUUUUUUUCAGUUUCAAAAAAUGGUCAAAACUCAGUUUGGGAAAGAUAUUAAAAAUUUUCAAAGUGAUUGGGGUGGUGAGUUUCGUGCCUUCGCAUCAACUCUUGCUAUUCAUGGGAUACUUCAUCACCUCUCCCGUCCACAUACAUCCGAGCAGAACGGUAUAGCCAAACCAAAACAUCAAGACAUUGUUGAGAUAGGUCUUACUCUCUUGACCCAAGCUAAUAUGCCCAUGGAUUUCUGGGGUUACGUGUUUUGCAGUGUCGUUUAUCUCAUUAAUCGUCCACCUACCUUGGUUUUGAAAGGUCAAUCUCCGUAUUAAGUUCUUCAUGGUAGUGACCCUACAUAUGAUCAUUUACGGGUGUUUGGGUGUUAUUUCUUUCCAUACUUGCGUCUGUUUCUGCAACAGAACUUGGAUUUUUGUUCUCAGCCUUGCACAUUUUUAGGGUAUAGUUCUCAACAUAAAGGCUAUCACUGCCUCACACCAGAUGGUAAGGCCAUUGUCUCUUAUCAUGUUGUGUUUGAUGAACGUCGAUUUCUCUUUUUUUUUAUGUUGCAAACACCGUCCAGUCAGGUCCAUGUAUCUCUACAUAUGUUCCUAUUGCUCAGUCUUCAUCUGCCGCGCCACGGCAUCCUCGCUUGUUCAGCCCAUUAAGUCCUCUUGACUCUUACUCCUAAUUGUAGUUCCAAGACGUCUAUUUCAGUUGACUCUCCGACUGAAUUGGGUUCUACUCAUGAGGUGCACCGGCUCUUCACCUCAUCUCCUGAAUCACGUCAAUGCGACUCUACUACAAUUCCCUCGGUUAUUCCAUCUAUUUUUCUAGAGAAUACUCAUAACAUGAUUACUCGGUCUAAGGCUAGUAUUUCUAAACCCAAAGCUUUCUCUGUUGAAACUGUCGACUAUGAGCCACACACGAUUGAUGAGGCACUCGCUAGUAAGGAAUGGCAAUUAGUUGUCCAAGCUGAGUUUGUUGCUCUAAUGGCUAACUCUACCUGGGAGCUUGUUCCCUUACUUCAUUGUCGAAAAGUGAUUGGGUGUAAGUGGCUUUUUAAAAUAAAAAAAAUCCUGAUGGGGCUAUCACUUGGCACAAGGCUCAGCUGGUAGCAAUGGGUUGUUCUUAGGUACCUGGGUGUGAUUUCAAAGAAACCUUUAGUCUAAUGGUUACACCUACUACUAUUAGAAAAAUAUUGUCUAUUUCUGUUUCCAAUGGGUGAAAACUUCGUCAAAUCGAUGUGAAUAAUACCUUUUAAGAUGGUGAUCUCACUGACGAAGUGUUUAUGCAACAACCUUCAGGCUAUGUUCAGAUUGGUCCAUAUCGUGAGCUAUUGGUGUGUCGUCUGAAAAAGGAGUUGUAUGGAUUACGACAAGCUCCACGUGCCUGGUUUGAUAAAUUGAAACAUUUUUUCUACCAGAUUUGUGUUAUCCAAAUCUGAUGCAUCCCUGUUUGUUCGAGUUACGUACGUAUCCACUAUUUAUGUUCUAAUCUAUGUGGAUGAUAUUACCGUUACUGAAAGUACGACUGACGGUAUAAAUGACUUUAUUCAACAGUUACAUAAUAAGUUUUCCCUUAAAGAUAUGGGAGAUCUUCACUACUUCUUAGGUAUUCAAGUCACUCGGUCAUCCACUAGAAGUCUUCAUUUGUGCCAACGCAAAUACAUCUAGGAUCUGCUUGACAGGAGUUCCUGGGCUAACGUGAAAAGUGUUCACACACUGAUGGUUAGUUCUUUUACAUUGUCUAAAGAUGAGAAAAAUCACCUCGUUGAUCCCACUAAAUAUAGGAGCCUUGCCGGAGCAUUACAAUAUGUGGUCUUAACUCGGCCUAAUAUUGCUUAUGCGGUAAAUCGUGUUUGUCAAUUCAUGCAUAUGCCUACUACGGUACAUUUGGUGGCUUUGAAAAUAAUCUUGCGCUAUUUACGUGGCACUAUUGAUCAUGGGUUAAUUUUUCGUCCGUUCGACAGAUUGUCUUUAGUUGGCUAUGCUGAUUCCAACUGGGGACUGGAUUUUGAUGAUCGUCAGUCAACCAUAGACUAUUGUGUGUAUUUUGGACAUACAUCCAUCUUUUUGUGUUCUAUGAACCAACAAGUUAUUUUUCACUCCACGGCUGAUGCGAAGUAUCGUAGUCUAGCAGUAGCUACCAGUGAUGUUACUUGGUUAGCCUCUCUGUUAACGAAUUUAAAAAUUUGUUCUGCAAAUCCACUUACUAUUUGGUGUGACAAAUCUAGUGCAAUAGUGGUUGCUGCUAAUCCGGUUUUACACUCCAAAUUUAAACAUGGCGAGCUUGAUCUAUUUUUUGUUCGCGAAAAUGUCACUAAUGGUUCUCUCAUUGUUGGCGAAGUUCCGGCAUGUGAUCAGGUUGCUAGUAUUCUCACAAAACCAUUGUCCAUCUCUACUUUUGCUAGGUUUCAUAGUCUGCCUCAAGUCUUACCUCUUGAGAAGCUGGAUGAAGCCGGGUGAAUAUUAGAGUAUAGACUCUAUUAGUCUGUUACCAUUUUGUUAUACAGGCUAGAAUAUUGUUAGUAACCAGUUAGCAGCAAUUAGUCAUAGCAGUUAGUCAUACAAGUAUAAAUUCUAUUUAUGUAUAGUUCAAAGGUAAGCUAAUAAUACCAGAAGAGAUUUAACGUGUUCAUUCUACUUUCUUUGUUAUUCUUCAUAAUACAGUUGUUAACAGGCUUGAUAUCAUCUCUUAGAGAAAACUAGGAGAGAUAAGAGUAAGAGUAUGAGCAAACUAUGGAUAAGGCUCUACCAUAAUACCUUAGAUGCAGUUAAAGUAAGAGUAAGAGCCAACUUGUUUGGCUUGAUAGCAUCCCCUUAUAGAAAAAGCUCUACCGCAUGGCAUUAGAGCAAUAAAAGUAACACUUAAUUUCUUGGUUGAUAGCAUCUCGUAGGGGAAAAAGGUUUACCAUGUGACAUGAAAGUAAUUAAAGUAAGAUUAAGAGCUAACUUGUUUGUCUUAAUCGCAUUGUUUAAGAGAGAUCCAAAUAAAUUUACUCAAAAUAUGUUAAUCAAAUAAUGCAAAUUACAAUGUUUUGUCAAUUUUUCCUUUAAUUGUAACUGGGUUAAAGUUGGUAGUUGUAACUGGUACUAAUAGAAUAGAUUUGGUAGAAAUGGUUGAAAGCAACAUAAGCAAAGAUGACUUUGAUGUCAUUGUAUUGACCACGUGGGAACUAUAGAAUGUAGAGAAUAGUAUGGUGAUUGGCAUCAGAAUGUUGCUAACUUUGAGGACAGUAGAUAAGGAUGGAUCCAAAGGGGCUGUGGGCGGCCCCCUUGAAAUUUUCAAAUUUUUGAAUUUAUAUAUAAAUUAUCAUGUAUUUUAGAUUUGGUGUCCACAUUGUAUAACAUUCACCCCCUUUGCCAAAUUGUAUUUCAUAUCAUUCGCCCCCUUAAACCAUAAGGUUAUACUUUAUAUUAACAAAGUAUUUUCCAUUUUUUUUAAUUAUAUAAAUUUAAUAAUAACAAUAAUAAUAAAAUAUUAAUGUAUGAUAGGCAUUGAAAGACUAAACUUAUAGGUCCAAUUUGGACUUUAAAGCCAAAUUCUAUAAUUAAUUAAUUGAUUUGGCUCAUACCUAUACAUAUUAGGUUAGCGACUUUCUUGUAUUUUGAUUUGUAUGUCUUCUUAAGGAAUUAUCUUCCUUUGGUAAAGUGUUGACACUACCAAGAGAAAAAGAAAGGAUUUUGAUGACGAGACUAAGAGUAUAGAGCAAAAAUAUACAAAUUAUCUUCCUCUUGGCUCCUUAUGCAAAAAACCUCUCGGUAAAUUUUUUGCAUAAAUUAUGUUCUUUAUUUAUUUGACUUAUUUUUUUUAUUUUUUCCUAAUAUAUUUUGUUUAAUAUAUUAUUAAAAUCAUCAGGUUUUUCGAUUAAAUAAUGGUCAAUAAAAAGAUCGAAUCUAUUUUUUUAAAAAAAAGGUGUCAGAAAGCAAUAGUGAUCAACCAGUUCCUUAACCUUCUGUUAUUCGUGAAGAAAAACCAAAUAUUGGAUAUUCCCAAGCUCCUGAAUGAAAUAUUAGGUCUUAUCAAGCCCAAACUUUUGAAUGCGAUAUGGAGUCUUCCCCAGUUCUUAAACUAGAUUGUUACACUCCUUACCUGAUCCGAUCACCAAAUCCAUGUAGAGAGUACCACAACUUAAACCAUAUGAAUUGAAUAAUAAAUAUUUGAAAUUUAUUAAAGUAUCGAGUUCUUGGUGUAACCCUCAGUAUAAUAAUAUGAAACAAUCAAAUCAAUGAUACGCCAGGAACAAACAUUUUUAGGAAAAACACAUGGCGGAAACCUUACAAAAGUUUAUAAGUUUAUAUGAAAUGUAAGAUGAGUUAAUCCCAUACAAUAGUUUCAAGUGCAUUUUUGGCAGUUAAAACAACACUCUAAAACUAUUUGGUGUAGAUGCCAAUGAGACAAUCAUGUGGAAUAAGAUAUAGUAGCAUAAACACAUACAUCACUUACCAUGUCAUUAUAACAUAUACUAACCACAUAAACAAAUUUCUCGAGCUGCGAACGAACAAGUUUACCCAAACAUCUGGGGUUGGUAGAUAGCUUAUCAGAAAAGCCCUCCAAAUCCUAGAGUUCACCAAAACCUGGAGUUCGCCAAAUAGAGAUUCCCAUAGAAUACGCCAAACACACAACCAAAAAACAAAUACUCUACUAACUUACUUAUUUUUUAUUCUUAGCAUAAACAACUAUGCGCCAAAAAGUAACUUGAUACAUUAUCCAUCAGGCGGGUUGUUACAAUUCUCCCUCACUUAGAAAAUUUUGUCCUCAAAAUUCUUAACGGUGAAUAACUGAGGAUAUUGUUCUUUUAUUGAACUCUCUCUUUCCCAAGUGGAUUCUUUUUUAUUGUGAUUUCUCCAUAAUACAUUAACAAAAGGAAUUCUUUUUCUUCUCAACUUUUUUACCUCCCUUGCUAAUGCGAACAGGUUCUUCUUCAUAGGAUAUGUUUGGCUCCUUUUCUAAUGCUUUGACUUGUACCACAUGAUCUGGUUUGGAUUGAUAUUUUCUUAACACGAACACAUUAAUCACAUUGUGUAUCUUUGAUAACUCUAGUGGCAACACCAAUCUGUAUGCCACUGGACCAACCAGUUCCAAAAUCUCAUAUGGUCCUACGAAAUGCAGACUUAAUUUCCCUUUUUAUUCUAACCUUAUGAUAUUCUUCCAAAGAGAAAACUUCAUAAAUACAUUGUCACCCACUUCGAAAGAGAUUUCUUUCCUUUUUAGAUCAACAUAAGCUUUCUGACGAUCUUAAGUUACUUUCAGAUGAUUUCAAAUAAUAGAGACUUUCUCUUCUGUUUCUUGUACUAAAUCAAAACCAACUAUUUUCCUUUCACUGAGUUCCAUCCAACAGGUGGGAGAUCUACGCUUUCUUCCAUACAAAGCUUCAAAUGGUGAUAUUUCUAGAUUGGCGUGAUGACUAUAAUUAUACACAAACUUUGGCAAAGAAAGAUAUCUUUCUCAAUUCAUUCUGAAAUCUAUAAUACAACUUCUGAGCAUGUCUUCCAAAACUUGAAUUACUCUUUCAAAUUGUUCACCUGAUUAGGGAUGAAAGGCAGUACUGAAUCAUAUCUUGGUUCCUAACGAUUCUUGUUGUUGUCUUCAAAAUCUUGAUGUAAACAUUAGGUCUCGAUCUAAAACUACGGAUGUUGGAAUCCCAUGAAGACAUACAACUUCAGAAACGCAGAGCUUAGCCAACUUUUCCAAUGAGUAAUUUGUGCGGGCAAACAAGAAAUAGACUGACUUAGUAAGUCGAUCUACAAUUGCGCAAACUGAAUUCUUCUUUGAAAGGCUGAAAGGGAGAGCCAAAACAAAAUCCAUGGUGAUGUUAUCCCACUUCCACUUAGGUAUCUCUAAAGGGUACAACUUGCCUAAGGGAACCUGAUGUUCUGUUUUAAUCCGCUGACAUGUCAAAGAAAUGGAGAUGUACUCUGUUAUUUCUUUCUUCAUUCCAGGUCACCAAUACAAACUUCUCAAAUUACGAUACAUUUUAUGUAAUGCUCUCAACCCGACUCGAUAUGUCGAGUUUGGAUCUCGGGUAUUACUAUACACAGUACUUAGUAAAAUAUCAAAAUAGCUGACAAAUACUCUUUACUAAAAACAUUUUCUUAUUAUUUUAACCGAAAGAGUAAAUAUUUAAUAACAAGGGUAAAUAUUAGAAAUAAAAUAAAUUAUUACAUCAGACUUGGUACAACUGAUUAUAGUAUAAAAUUUUGUUAAAGACAGACUCUUGGGGAAUAACCCUAAUCUAUGCCACUUUUCCACUAUAUACAUAAUAACCCACUUCAGCACUAUCUUGGCAUACUCCUAGCAUCGUCACUCCUAACGCAUUCUCUACCCAUACACCUAAAAACAACAACAUUAUAAGCUCAAGAGAACUUAGUGAAUUUUAUCCCAAAAAUACCUUGGCGAGUACUUUAAUUAUUUGACUAACAUCUGUGCGCCAUCUAUCUUUUUAAACCACCUUCUUCUGAAUCAGACGGAUACUAUUACAGAUUCGACUUUCACUUAUACGCCAGCUAUCAUACUCUUAACACACUCACUUAUUCUAGAACAGUUUUUCACAUAUAUUAAUCAUUGACAGAUACAUACAUUUUUGGUGAAUACUUACGCAGAUCUAAAUACCAUCAAACUACUAAUCAAAUCAUACAUUGAUUCGAUACCAUACAAACUCCCAUUGAUAAUGUACUACACAAUUUAUUCAAAUGAAUUUUCCACUACUUUGUUACAGGACCCCAGAAAAUCAUCAUAACAAUAACUCAAUUUCCAUAUGAUUUCAAAAAAGGAUAUAAUACAACCCAAAUAUGGCGAAUUCCAGACAACUCAGAUUCAACAACUGUAUAACAUAGACAAAAUCACAUUGAUAAUUUCUUAUGUCCCAAAUAACUAUGAAUACGUCCAUAUUCAAUACUAACAGAUAAUCAUGACGGAUACCCUUCUUAUACAUAUAUGCAUUUCUUUUCUAAAAAUCUCUUAAGACUUACUCAGUUAUAUCACAGAUCUUAUUCAACCUUUAACUUCAGACGUAUCAUAAACCUAUCAGAUCAAUAUCUGUCACAAAGAAAUUGGCAUUUACCCAGAUUUUACAAUAAAGGCAGAUAAUCAUAUUAUAGUAGACAAACUUAACUGAAAGUGCUACAAAGGCCAAACAAAAUAUGCCAUAAAGGCUUCAUACAAAAUCAUGUGUUUACUAUCUCGACGGAUGAUACAUGAUAUUCGUGACAGGUUUUAAAAAUUUAUAAUUAAUCGUUCUUUAAAUUAACUAUUAUCACGAUGAAGGCAAGUGUACCUCUCGAACAGUAAUAUAGCUUUAGCAAGACCGGAUGGUCGAACCCAAAGGAACCAAGAGUACUAGUAAUUGCUUUCUUUUUAUUAUCUAGCCUAAAAAUUAAGGGAUUUAUUUAUCUAAUUAAUUAACUAAACUAAGGGUGCACAGAAAGAAAAUUGGGGAAAAGCUUUUGGGAAAACUCGAUUGAUUAAGACAAUACCCAAGAAAAAAUCCACCUAGACUUCACUUAUUAUUUGACUCUAAAUCAGACGAUUUAUUCAUUUGACUUGAUCCGUAGAAAUCCCUAAGUUAUAUUAUUAUCUCUCUUGAGACUAAUAACGUCUAACCCUAGGCUGAUAAUUGAAAUCUCUUUCUAAUUAACACUCUAGUGUUGCAUUAACUCGAUCUAUGGACUCCCUUAUUAGGUUUCACCCUAAUCCAGUAAAAUCUUGUCACCCUAUCUCUAGGCGUGCAAUCAACUCCGCUUAAUUAUGAAAAAUUUACUCUUAGAUAAGGACUUUUGCUCCUCUAAAUAAGCACAUUAACUUGAAUCAAUAUCUUGGAAUACUAAAACAAGAAUUAAGAACACAUAAUUAAGAACAAGUCAAAUAUUUAUCAUACAAUUCAGAAAAUAAUAACAAGAUCCGUCUUAGGUUUCAUUCCCCUUAGGUAUUUUGAGGUUUUAGUUCAUAAUUAUGAAAGAAAACAUCUCAAAAGAAUAAUGAUAACAAAACAUAAAGAAAACCCAAAACUCCUGAAGGAAAUUGAAGGGAGAUCCUCAGUCUUGACGAUGAAUCCGGCUUUUGAAAUGGAUCAAUCGGCUUUCCUUGAGUAAUUCAUUGCCUCCUACUCCCUAUGUAUCUUCUAAGUGCCUCCUCAGGUGUUUAAAUAGGCUUUAUAAUGUCUAAAAGCCCUCAAGAGUGGCCUUUUCUGAAUAGGACUGAACUUGGGCUCGAUAGGGACACGCCCGUGUGACACGCUCGUGUGCAAUUGCUUCAGACCGUAGUCAAGGCUACUAAAUAGGCAUGGGCGUGUGGUCUACCCGUGUGAGGAAGUCCAGGCCGUGUUGAUUUCUGAUGUUGGUCCAUUUUCUUCAUUUUCAGCCCGUUUCUCGCUCUUUUUACUCUCUUAUGCUCACCAAAGUAUAAAACAUGAAAUUAAAGGAUUAGGAGCAUCGAAUUCACCAAAUCUAAGGAGAAUUCAUCCAAAAAUAUGCUAAGCAUGAGGUAAAAAUAUGUAUAAAUUAUGGUUUAUUAAAUACCCCCACACUUAAGCGUUUGCUUGUCCUCUAGCAAAAUCCUCAACUCAAAAUCAAAAUAAAUUCUUCUUAACUUGUAACCCCUAUCAAUAAUAUCUCAAAAUAAACCAUAAGUAAUCAUGUAUUGAGAAUUCAACUAGAAAAGCAUUAAAGUCUCAAACAUUCCAAGUCGAGCAUUUUAUCACGAAAACAUAGGUGUUUCCCCUCAUCUAAGUGAUUACCUUUGAUUCAAAAUAUCACAAAGUUUUAACAUCCUCACUAAAGAUUCACUCAAAUCACUCGAGGUGUUUAAGGAUAAUAAAUGAAGCACUCAUUAGUCAAUAUGAAAAGUUAUUACCAAAGGCUUGUAUGAAAGUCAAAUCUCCACCACUAUAAAUUGAGAUGAUACAUCAAUCAAAAGGUCUUUAGAGGGUUGUAAAGUGGCUUUUGUUAGGGGGUGUAGUCACAAGCUGAAAGAAAGGUUAGAAUCAAGAUUGAAUUGAAAAAUUACCUAACUAGAAAAAUAACUAGUCAUUACUUGAAUACAUGUAAACUUCUUCUCAAAAUAUGAAAUUGAACACUUAAGCUCGAAAACAACGAAUUACUACUAAUAUAUGUAUGUAUUAUAAUUUUUUUUAAGAACAAGUCAAAUAAUAUAGGUUAAUUAUCAAAAAUAAAACAUAGCUAAGUAAUUUAUUCAAAUUAAAUCUCGACAAAAAUUGGGAUCAACUUGAUUGAGGGGAUUUCAACAGUAAUAGGUUAUAGGUUAAUAUUGAGGGUAAAUCAAUGGAUAGUUUGUUAGGCUCAAAGGGGUUCACUAAGGACAAAUUAUGAAGGUAGGCUUUUGUGGAGUGAGUGGGUUAAACCUAAGUGCCUUUAUCAUCUCGACAUAUUAAAUCAAAUGGUGUGGUCUUGACAUGCAUAAUCAAGCAAGUUCUAGAAUAACAAAUCAAUACUGACGCACUCAUAAUAAAAGUGAGCAUGAAAGAAAUAAAAUAUGAUCUAAAAGCUUAAAAUCUCACAAAAAAUUAUGGCUUUUUGAUGUUGAACCUGUGAAUUUCAACUCAAGAUAAUACCUAAACUUGGGGAAACAACCUAAAAAUUUUAAAUACUCAAAAAUCAACUUAUCAUGUCUGAUUUUCUAAUUCCUUCAAAGUUUAAACGGUCAAUGCAUAAAUACCUAUGUUUUAAUUCAAGACAUAUCAAUAAAAAUCAUAAAUUAAUCAAAAUUCAUUCUAAUAAUGAUAUGAGAAGAUUAUUUGAGAACAAGACAAAAUUUAAGGAUUUUUUUGAUAAUGAUAUAAAGGCCCCCCACACUUAAGAUGUACAUUGCCCUCAAUGUACAAAGUUAGAUUUACAACGAUAUAGAUAUAAGAUCAUAAGAUAGGGAGAGAAGUGAAACUUCCUGAAUAAUGAAUGAACUCCUUGAAUUGGAGUUAUGGAGAAUAAUCGGCAAAGGCAAUGAUAAGAUUGGAGGAGGAUACUUCGGUGGUGGUAGAGGUUGGGUUCCACAACCUCAGUGUCCAGCGAAGAAGUUAUCGUGGUGGUCGAGCAAGACAUUACAGUUAUGGAGAACCUUUUCCAGUGGAGUUUCAAGUUUCUAAGUGAUGGUGAGCUUUGGGGCUCUUAGUAACUGUGAUAAAAUCAAGAACUCUUUAAGAAAUGUAAGGAAGCAUAAUUACACGUAAUGAAAUAGCUGAAACUAUAAAUUAUUCAAUAAAAAUUAUAAAACCUAAAAAUGAAAUAAUAUUAAAGGAAAAUAAAAUAAAAAGUACUUAAAAAUGUAAAUAAAAAUAAAAUAUAAAAAGUUUUUAAACAUCGUCAUCGCUGGAUGGUUCGCAAGGUGGUGGUGGUGAUGAGAUGUGAAGGUGCUGACAAAUCUGAUGUAGAGUAGCAUCAAUGUUAUCAAAGCGCUGAAAACACUAUUGCUCAAAUCAAUAAGGCACUCAGAGAUGUCAGAGUAUGAAAUCGCCGCAUGAACUGGACGAUAGAUGGGUUGUGGCUGAAAUGGUGGGUCCUCAUGACGUGGAGGGACAUCAUUAGUAAUUCCUCCGGGUCCUCCUCCUCGGCUGACUGGAUGAGGCGGUACUGAGCAGAAUCGAUUCCAUGUCAUUUCUCGAUCAUCCUCAUAUGUAGCAUGCUUGAAAUACCCUGUGGGGACAUCUGGCCGAUGAGAGUGAGCGAGAAUGAUUGUGCCACUGUGUUAAAGAGUCCAAAGUGCCGAAUCAAUCGAGUCACAUAGGGGCCAAUAGAGAUGACUCCCUUCCUAUGCCGUUCCGUCUGAUGGCGAAUGGCGAAGGCAAUGAAAUAGGCGAGGUCGAAGAUGUGCCCAUUCGCCAUGCUCCAUAAAAAGUAGGCAUCGUGAGUGUUGACAAUGCCGGUGCUCUCUUGUCUUCCUGUCAGAGUGUGGGCCAAGAGGGCGUGUAGGUACCUCAAGGAUGGAGGGAGAGUUGAUGUUUUGGAACGGUUAGGGUCGUAGGUGGCCGAGGGAGGGACGAGGGCCUCCAGCACUUCGAGUGAGAGUAAUGGAUGUGGCGAUGAAGGAUGUCGAGUUCGUUGUAGUCCAUGAACUCCUCCGUAUACAGCCCUAGUACAAUUUUGAACUCCGGUACGCUCAAUUGGCACACUAAACCACCAAGACGAAACUGGACCGUUGUAGGAUCGUCGAACUCUGUCAUAACGGUUUGGAAGUGAAAGGUCGAAUAGAGUUCCAGUGUGAGCUUAAGGUAUAUCGGCUUGAUGAUCCCAAAGAAGAGCUCCCAUGGAUCAGUCGACAGAAGGGCUCUGACCGCGUCAACCAGUUGGACUUGUUCAAGUGCGGCCCAUUCAAUGCAGCGGCCCACACCUAAGGGUCAGGCCCGAAGUAUCUAAAAGAGUUCUUCCUAAGGUCCUAAGGGAAACUAAAUAAAGGGGUGCCUGAUCUCCACGGUAGGACCCAAGGAUGACACUGCUCAUUUCCUUUUCUUUGAAGCGGGGACAGCGAUUUUCUUACCAUGGUUUGACAUGAUAUCUGCAAUGGCAAGACGAAAAAAAUAAUAAAUAAAAAAGUAAACUUACUCUCCAACAAUAACAUGAAAAAACAUAUGCAAUGCAUGUUAAAACUAAUAGAGAUACUUUAUAGGAGUCAUGUACUAAAGAACAACUACGCUGAAAAAUAACCCAAUCAGAUAUAUUAAGUCAUUACUACGAAUAGGAAUAUGAUAAUAAUGCCUAGUGAAUGAAUGCAUAUGGAAAUGAUGAUAUGGAAAAUAGAAUGAAGUCCAUGGCAACACAAGAAUGGUGGUAUCAUAAUGCAUCAACUAAGAUAGCAAGAAACAAAGAGCAUAAGCAAGGCUAUUAUUAGAACUAUGAAGAUUAACAGUCAAAAUAAAACAAGAAAAAUCGAAUUCAUAAACGAAAUGAAGAGAAAAGAAUGGACAAACGCAAAAGCUUGGUAGAGGGAGGAGCUUGGGCCGUCGUUAGUGGUGUUGUGGUUGGCGCACGGGCGUGGCAGGAAGGCGUGGGCAAGAGUUACGGCGGCUACAGUUAGGGAUUUUGGGGAAGGGGAUGAUGAAUAUAAGGGGUUUAUUCAACUCGUGUUUAUCGCGAUUUUUAAAUUUGGGCACGUCUGAAAUUCGUCCCACGCCGAUGUCCUUUGGGCGUGUUGGUGCACAUGGCCGUGUCGUACGGUCGUGUCCUACUUCGUUCACUUCUCCCACGCUCGUGUGUAUAAGCACACGCCCGUGUUGUUUGAUCAGUCUUGAGCACGGUUGGUGGGCACGGGCGUGUCGCACACUUGUGCUAAAUUCUCAGUUUCAACCACGAUUUCAAGACACGGGCGUGUCACACGCCCGUGUUGAUUUGAAAGACUCACCCACGGCCACGUUACACAGCCGUGGCAACUUAUCACAUCUCGUGUUAAGCAAAAAUUUUUCCCUGUUUCCACACGGUCGUGUCGCAAGGCCGUGUCUCCUCCCGUAGUGUGAGCACGGCCUAAGGCACACCUGUGUGCCUCACCGUGUGAAUUAGAAAACCAGUAUUUCAAUGACUCAGUUAGUGAUUAGAUGUUAAAAACUAAAAUUUUAAAGAAGGUAACACUAUUAGUGCUCGGGUUACCUCGCGAAAAGCAUUUAUUUAUAGUCUAAGCUCGACUUACCUCUCUGUUGCAUAGUCAUGGUAGUGCAAGGAGUUUACACUCCUCAUCCCUGCUAUCAAUUUUAUCAAAAUAAGGUUUUAGACAAGUACUAUUUACCUUAAACGUACCGAAUUUGGGAUGAAUUACCUCGACUGUGCCGUAUGGGAAAAUACUAAGUACCGUAAGAGGGAUUUCUCCAUUAGGUUCAAAGGUGGCAAUCCGAAGGUCUGCUGCAUCUAAUAGUACUUUGUUUCCAACCUUAAGUUGAGUUGGAGAAAUAUUGAGCUCGUCAUGGCAUGGUUUUUUUUAUCGUGUGAUUUCGAUUUCUGUGUCUGCCAUUCAUCUAGUUCCUCAACCUGUAGCCUUGUUCUUCAUAGAUGGGUUCUUUGUCGUUAUUUGAAUGUGGCUCAAGUGUGUUUCUCGAAUGUGUUUCCUGCACAGAGGGUUUCACCACAUGAUCAGUACUGAUAGAAUUUCGAGCUUGAGGAGUAAUUGAUUCAUCACCCAUACGAAGUGUGAGUUUACUUGUGCCAACAUCAAUUAUAGUUUUAGCAGUUGCUAGAAAGGACCGUCUUAAAAUUAAAGGUGCGUCGCUAUCCUCUUCUAUGUCUAGAACAACAAAAUCAAUUGGGAAAAUAAAUUUAUCGAUUUUUACCAAUACAUCUUCAAUGAUACCCCUGGGAAAUCUAAUAGUUUUAUCAGCUAACUGAAUACUCAUCCUAGUUUGUUUAGGUUUCCCAAUACCUAGUUGUUUAAACAUUUUAUAAGGCAUGAAAUUGAUACUAGCCCCUAAAUCAGCCAAAGCGUUAUUAACAUCUAAGCUACCAAUUAAAUAAGGAAUCGUAAAACUCCUUGGAUCUUUCAAUUUGUUGGCCAUGAUGUCUCGUUGAGAGCACCAAAAAUAUCCUAUUCUCUGUAAAAUAGUAAAAAUAACAGUAAAAGGGAAGUAGGGUCGAAUCCUCAGGGACCGGAUUGUACAAAUGCUCGUUUCUUGAAAUCCUGGACAAUUUCUUGGCCAAGAAAACCUGCGUUCCUGAAAAAUAAAAAAAAUAAAAUUAAGAAUCUGGAAAAAAAAAUAGAAUUUAAAGGGAAUUGAAAUUGCGAAAUUAAAUAAAUUGUCGAAAUUAAAAUGAGGAAAAAUAAAUAGAGUUGGGAAAAGAGAAAGUUUCUUAUGUGGCGAGAUUCCAGGCUCCGGUUGUCUCGUUCCGCCUUGGGUUCAAUCCUUGGCCUUUAAGUAACCCUUCCCAACUCAAGUAAGCCAGUUAUAGUGGAAGAGGAUGCCUACGACCACCAGCUCCAAAGAUUAGACUUACGAUUUUUAGGGAACCUGACUCUAACCAGUAAUCUAUGCUAGAUCAACGCUUCUCAAUGGCGAAUCCCAAGUCAUUUUGUCUCUUUGGCUCGCCAACCUUUGACGCAGUAAAUUAACAAACCGACUGUGCAAUCCUUUCAAAACAUACAAAGCGGUCGCCUUUGCAUAUGCUGAAAAGCUUACUUCUUAAGGGCCAUGGACGGAAGCGUCAGCCCGUAGUGCGGAGAAACGAUGAAUACUUGGCGAGAAGGCUAAGUACGGGUUCUAGGCCUCAAAAACCCUUUUUUGGGGAAUAUUGACAACCUUCAGCUAGAUAGGUUUUAAUGGCUCAUGAUAAUGGUGGAAAAGGAAAUAAAUAUAAAAAUAGAAAAUAAAAUUUUAUUCAAAGAAAAUAUGAAGAAACAAAAGCCUAGACUUUUAGGGGGAGAGUGUUUAUAGAAAAAGAUGAACACCCCAAAUAGAGUCACUUCACCCCCUAUUUAUAGUGCUAGGGAGAUAAUCUAAUUUAACUUAAAUUCUAAAAAGAUAAAUACAUUUAAUUAAAGAUAAUUAAAAUAAAAUCCUAAAAUUAAAUAAUCCUAAUAAUUAUCUUAAUAAUAAUUAUUCUAAUAUAAAUAAAAUGGAGUCUUAUAAAAUAAAAUCUCUUCUUUUUGAGUUUUCAGUCCUUGUGUCAUCCAUGCUCGCACUUUUGGAACAAUCUUUUUCCUGUGUCGCAUAUCAGCCCAUUGUGUCUCCAAAUUCGCACUUUUGUCCCUUAAUUUUUCUUUUUGCCUCCAAAUCAGUCCUUUAAAGAUAAAAAGACAUAAAUAGCUAAAAUUAGUAUGAUCAAGCUCAGAAUAAAUAUAUAAUUAGCACAUAAAAACAUGACAUUCUAGAGUGUUAUCAGGCCAGCUUAUUUUGCAGAAUGGCUGAGCAAACUGCAUUCAUCUCCACAUGCGAUGCCUCAUCUAACUUCCGUUUAUUCGCUAAAAGCUCCUUUAAAAAUUUGACUGUGUUCAGCAUCUACGAAAAAGCUUCAAUAAACGGUAAGUUAAUAUGUAAUUUCUUUAAAAUUUUAAGGAAUUUACCGAAUUGUUCGUCUGAGUGGUCUUUCCUUGUCGUAUUUGGGUAUAGUACACGUGGUUUGUACUCUUUACUUACCUGUUUUUGCUCAUUAUGGUCCACCUUACCUCUACCUUUACUUACCACAAUUUCUUGCCUUAGUUCUGGUUGAGGUGCAACUAACCCUUCCUCAUCUUGAAUGGUAAUCGCAUUGAGCUAUUCCCUUGGAUUAGAUUUAGUGUUACUCAACAGGCUACCUUGUGGUCGUUCAGAUACCAAUUUAGCAAGCUGGCUUAUCUGAGUUUUGAGCCCUUGAAUCGACACUUGUUGAUUCUUAAGUGCUUUCUUGGUAUUCUAAAAACAAGUUUCUAACACUGAGAUGAAUUUUGUUAGCAUCUCCUCAAGGUUCAGCUUUUUCUCUUGUUGGUAAGGUGGUUGUUGGAAGCCUGGAGGUGGUGGGGGUCUCUGAUUUCCUUGGCCUCCCCAUGAAAAAUUUGGAUGGUUCCUCCAACCUGCAUUUUAAGUGUUACUAUAAGGAUUAUUUUAAGAUCGAGGAUUAUUACCCAUGUAAUUCAACUGCUCAUUUUCCAUACUGUGGCCAUAAGGUGGGUAUUCUGAAUUGCUUGAUCCACCUCUACUUGCUUCGCACUGCAUUACUAGGUGAACCUGUGAAUAACCAAAUAACCCGUCAAUUUUCUUAUUUAAUAGUUCUACCUGACUAGAGAGCAUCAUGACUAAAUCAACGUUAAAAACGUCAGUUGUUUUAGUCGGCUUUGUCCUCAUUACUUGCCACUGAUAAUUAUUCAGUGAGAUCUCUUCUAUAAAUUCAUAAGCAUCUUCAGAUGUCCUAUUAUUGAUAGUCCCACCAGCGGAUGCAUCGAUAAGUUGCCUUGUUGAGGGGUUUACACCGUUGUAAAACGUCUGAACUUGCUGCCAUAGAGGCAACCCAUGAUGAGGGCACCUUCUCAACAGAUCUUUGUAUCUCUCCCAUGCAUCAUAAAGCGUUUUUAGAUUCAUCUGCAUAAAAGAAGAGAUAUCACUACGUAAUUUAGUCAUUUUAGCCGACGGAAAAUAUUUUAAUAAGAAUUUUUUAUUGUCAUUUGUUCCCAAGUAGUGAUUGACACUCGUGGUAACGAGUUCAACCACUGUUUAGAUUUGUUCCUCAAUGAAAAGGGAAAUAACCGAAGACGAAUGGAAUCAUCAGAAAUGCCAUUAAUUUUAAAUGUGUCGCAAAACUCUAGAAAAUUUGCCAAGUGAUUGUUCCUCAUCCUGCAAACUAUCAAACUAAACAAAUUGUUGUAUCAUUUGAAUUGUGUUAGGUUUUAGUUCAAAAUUAUUUGCAGCAACAGCUGGCCUAACUAUACUUGACUCAGUUCCUCUUAAAGUAGGUUUAGCAUAAUCAUACAUAGUACGCGGAGUAGGAUUCUGAUUAGCAGCAAUCGCAAGAGGUAGCGGAUUUUCCUGAUUUUCAGUCAUCUCCUCAGUUGUGGUGGAAAUAUCGUCCUCUUGCUCUUUCUCUGUGUAUCUUAGGCUUUGCCUUAUUUCUCUUCGAUUUCUGUGAGCUGUGCGAUCGAUCUCACUAUCAAAAAGUAAUGGUCCUGACGGGUUUCUUCUAGUCAUGCACUAUAAAAACUUGCCAUAAGCGAAUAAACGAAAAAUAAGAAUAAGAAAAUAAAAUAAAAAUUCAAAUUGCAACAAAAGUAAAAUGGCUAAAGUAAUAAAAAUUGAGUGUUCCUAAUAUCUUCGUUCCCCGGCAACAGCGCCAAAAACUUGAUACGUGAUAUUCGCGACAGGUUUUAAAAAUUUAUAAUUAAUCAUUCUUGAAACUAACUAUUAUCACGAUGAAGCCAAAUGUACCUAUCGAACAGCAAUAUAGCUUUAGCAAGACCGGAUUGUCAAACCUAAAGGAACCAAGAGUAUUAGUAAUUGCUUUCUUUUUAUUAUCUAGCCUAAAAAUUAAGGGAUUUGUUUAUCUAACUAAUUAACUAAACUAAGGGUGCACAGAAAGAAAAUUGGGGAAAAGCUUUUGGGAAAACUCAAUUGAUUAAGACAAUACCCAAGGAAAAAUCCACCUAGACUUCACUUGUUAUUUGACUCUGAAUCAGACGAUUUAUUCAUUUGACUUGAUCCGUAGAAAUCCCUAAGUUAUAUUAUUAUCUCUCUCGAGACUGAUAACGUCUAACCCUAGGUUGAUUAAUUGAAAUCUCUUUCUAAUUAACACCCUAGUGUUGCAUUAACUCGAUCUAUGGACUCCCUUAUUAGGUUUCACCCUAAUCCGGCAAAAUCUUGUCACCCUAUCUCUAAGCGUGCAAUCAACUCCGCUUAAUUAUGAAAAAUUUACUCUUAGACAGGGACUUUUGCUCCUCUGAAUAAGGGCAUUAACUUGAAUCAAUAUCUUGGAAGAUUAAACCAAGAAUUAAGAACACAUAAUUAAGAAUAAGUCAAAUAUUUAUCAUACAAUUCAGAUAAUAAUAACAAGAUCCGUCUUAGGUUUCAUUCCCCUUAGGUAUUUAGGGGUUUUAGUUCAUAAUUAUGAAAGAAAACAUCUCAAAAGAAAAAUGAUAACAAAAUAUAAAGAAAACCCAAAACUCCUGAAGGAAAUUGAAGGAGAUCCUCAGUCUUGACGAAUAAUCCAGAUUUUGAGAUGGAUCAAUUGGCUUUGCUUGAGUAAUUCAUUGCCUCCUACUCCCUGUGUGUCUUCUAAGUGCCUCCCCAGGUGUUUAAAUAGGCUUUAGAAUGCCUAAAAGCCCUCAAGAGUGGCCUUUUUCGAAUAAUACUGAACUUGGGCUCGACAGGGACACGCUUGUGUGACACGCCCGUGUGCGAUUGCUUCAGACCAUGGUCAAGGCUGUUAAAUAGGCACGGGCGUAUGGUCUAUCUGUGUGAGGAAGUCCAGGCCUUGUUAAUUUCCCAUGUUGGUCUAUUUUCUUCGUUUUCGGCCCAUUUCUUAUGCUCACCUAAGUAUAAAACAUGAAAUUAAAGGAUUAGGAGUAUCGAAUUCACCAAAUCUAAUGAUAAUUCAUCCAAAAAUAUGCUAAGCAUGAGGUAAGAAUAUGUAUAAAUUAUGGUUUAUCAAUGGACUAUCACAGAAGGUGUCAUAGGUUUCUCCAACAUGGGCUUAUACAUAAUUUCAUGUAUUGUGAUCUGCCAUUUCAAAUUAUACAUUAUCGAAGGCUACACCAUAAGCAUAUAUACAGACAUAUCUUGCAAUGGGUCUUAGCCAUAUAGCUUACACACACAUUCAUGUAUUGUAAUCUGCCAAUCCAAUCUUCAUCUUAUUAGAGGCUACACCAUGAGUGUUUCCAAAUCAAAGUAAGAUGUCAUGGGUCUCAACCUUAUAGUUUAUUCUUGUUUUCGUAUCGUGAUCUGCCAGUCUAGUUAGCAAUAUAACUGCCCUACCAGAGGCAUCAUAGAGGAAAAUUUGCUCAGCAUUUACUUCCCUAGAUGAUCACCUUUUUACUAGCUCAUACAUCUCCUACAUCAGACCUUACCUGCAUGCUUACCAAACAUUAUUCUUUUUAAUAGAAUUUAUACAUAUCAUCGUAGCACAUCUUUCAUCUUUGCUAAACUCAUAUUUAUACUAAUUUCUGUAGACAUCAUCAUCACAUAUAUAUAUGCUUCUUGUUUGAACAGUUCAUAUCAAAAAGUCAGGAUAGAGACCCACUUAACUCUCAUCUAUUGCAGUUCAAAGUUCUGGACUCAACCACCCUUCUCAAACCAACAGUAAAAACUGCUUACAAAACAUAGAAUCACCAUUAAAACUCAUUUACAUACAAAUUACCAUCAUCUUAAUCACUUUUCCGCUGCUAAUUAAUAAAUAAAUGUUGAGUAGUAAAUAAAUAAAAAAUUAACUAAGUUUUCAAAAAAAAAAAGUCACUGUGAUGAGAAGAAUAAGUUUUCAAAAACAAAAGUCACCGUGAUGAGAAGAAUGUCAAAAUUAAUUGGUUUUUGUUAACUCAUAUGUUUUUCUAAAAAUAGGUUAAGUUUUCUUCUGAAAUAAACAAAUAUUUUGAAAUGAUUGUUUUAUAAACUCCAAUCAUAGGCCAUCUUAGUGGUCGAUGUAAUCUCCCAAAUUCGGUUCUAACAUCUAGGUUGGGUUGGAGAGGUUACAAUAUAUAUAGAAGGAUUCAUCAAUAAUGGAAACUUGAAUACAAGCAAAGAAAGAAAUCAAUCAAUGUGAAUUACUAACAAGUUCAAAAGCAUAUAUUUGGAUUAUAUUUUGUAAAGUACAAGAAUGUCAAGGAAUUAGACAUUUUGUUUUGAUAGUGAUUAUAUUUUAUAUAUAUUUACUUUUAUGCACUUUCAUAUUGAGUUGAUCAACAGUUUUGAAACUUUAUAGAAAACUUCAAGGUAUCACUUGUUGCGUAAGUGAUAUUUUACUAAGGGUGCAUAAUUGGAGGCCUCCUAGAUAUGUGAAAAUAAUGUUUAAAAAUCCAUCAAAUAGUAAAAACAUAAAUGAAAUAGCAUAUUGAUAUAUAUGGUAUCUUGAGUGUUGAAUUAAACAUUCUUUAGUAAAAGAAUGUACAUUUUGCACAUUGUGGGUGUGUUGGUUUCUUAUAUAUCAAUUAAGCACAAAUUAAAGAAAAAUAAUAUAUAUCACCAUAGUGUUGUAAUAUUUUGUAAAAUUUGUAAAAUUAUAUAAGCAAAAAAGUUUACCUAUCUCGUUAAAUAAAACUCAUUGAGUUGGUUCUUAAUAUUGAAGAAUUAGAGUGGUUGACUUCUUUAUUCAUUUUAUCCAACUACAAGUUGGAUUAAAGUUGUGGAAAUAGAAUGGUUGAAAAUUUGUGUUAAUGAGAAUUAAAGUUGUGGCCACAACUGAUGCCGACUAUUUUCUAGAAACAGGGACUGAUGUCCAAAACAUGUAGUAAAAUAAAAUUUUAGACAUGUUAGCAUAUGAAUUUAUUAUAUUAUAGAUUCAAUGUAACACCCCUAUCCUAUCUCUGUUGCUGGAUUAGGAUUUCAGACUAUUACUAAGAAAAAUAGAACAUUUAACUUUCCAACAGAAACAAUUAUACAAUUAAAUACCAACAUAUAUCAAUUAAAUCUAAUCAUGGCAAAUAUUACACUUAUAGACCUUGAAUCGAGCCUAUGGAGCCCUAGAAAAAAUUUAGGAACAAUUUGGGAUCAAAUCGAAACAAAUCAAAACAUUUUGAAAAAAAUAUAAAAAUUUGGGAAAACAGGGGUCACACGGUUGUAUGGCCAAGUCGUGUGACAAAGCCUACACCGCGUAAACAUUAGAAGUCAAAACACUCAACUGUGUCCCAGCCUGUGUGUCUACUCAUGUGUAUAAUCGAAAUAGGGUCACACAGCUGUGCUGCAGACUGUAAACCGUGUGUGUAUUCGAAGUUAGGUCACACGACCAUGUGACCGACCGUGCCACAAACUGUUUUGAGACACACGGUCGUGUCACAGACCAUGUGAAAUAUGCACCUAAAAUAAUAAAUAUACACGACCAUGUGUGGUGACUAUGUGUGGCACAUGGUCGUGUGGUAGCUUGUGUCUCAGGCUGUGUGCUCCAUUUUUAACCCCUAAAUUAAGUUAAUCAAGCAUCAUUUCUUGCACAGCAAGACAUACCAUAUCUAACUAAUUUUACAUGGUAAAAAUCACAUUCAGAUCACCAAAUACAUACCAAAAUUUCAUUCAUCCUAUGUCUAACCAAUAUACCAUCAAAAGGCAUCUCAAUCCAUACAUUCAUUCAACUCAAGAACAAAGUUACAAUAAAGGAACAAGUUUUAUCAUUAGUUAACCAUUCAUGCCUAAAACCACCAAUCUAAUUGACGAAAAUAUGGGCAUACUCAACAAGCAACCAUUUCAAAACAUCAUCACCAAAUCUUUAUAUACCAUUUAGGAUCAACUUAAUUAUAUCCAACACAAGUACACAUCCAAAACAAAGCACAUCACUAGAAAUACCAAAAUAACUUAACGAUUUACACAUCAACAAUAAGACACCACAUCCCAAAAUGAAAUACAAAAGCUACCGAGAUGGCUGGAUAGUGUGUGCUCCAAAACAAUUCGUCUAGUCAGUCCAUAAAACGCCAACUCAACCAAUAUAGAUAAACAAAAAAGAUAAGUUCUAAUUCUUGAUAUUCAAAUGCAAGAUCACACCACAUUAGUAUAUAUUUAUUUACAUCAUAAAUGAUACCUUCCAAAAGUCAUAACCAAUUCAUCAUCCAAAAUUUCUCAAUACAACCAUUAACAUUUAUAAAACAAAAACUUCAUAGAAACAUUUAUCAUUUAGUAGUAAUAUAACUAUCCAACAAAAUUGAACAAAUAAAUGAGUUUUAAGUCAUUUGAUGCAUAUCCCGCUGAACUAUAGUAACUAGACUCGGAUACUCAAUGAUGCAUAACAGAGGCACCAAAGUGCAAACAGAGGAAGGAAUAUGCAAUCAAAGGCAUUGAAGUGCAAACAAAUGCACCAAAGUGCAAACCCGUACAAGCGCACAUUAAAACCCUAUUGGCAUACUAAUCGUAUCCUAAUCAUUUACUAUGUUCAAUGGGGCAUUAAGAAUGGGGCAUUAUACUUAAAAUCGCAAUACCAAUAAAUCCAUCAUUUAGAGGCACUUCUUAUUUCCGUACACAUAAUAACAAUAAUUACCAUCAUCAAACAUUCAUUUUAUAUUUGUACUUAAUUACAAAUUUUAAUAAUAUAUAAGUAACUAAUGAAAUUUCCCAUAUAUACCAUUAACUAGAAAAAAAUAAUAUAAUCAUAAAGAGAUACACAUAUACAUAUUAUUACAUUAUGAACUUACCUGCAAUCCACUUCCAAAUAAUAUACAGGGACUACUCCGCAAUUUUUCUCUUUCCUCGAUUAUUGUCUUUUUGACUCGGUUCUUGAUCUAUAUAAUAAUUAAAUUUAAUUUAUUAAAUUUACAUAAUUUAAAAAUCAAUUCAAUGCAUGACACCCUUAUGUUUUCAUUAUUUUCACAUUUUCCUUAAACUUUUACAUUUCUCACAAUUUAGUCCCUAAACCCGAAAUUCCAAAAUUUAACAAAAUUUUACAAUUUUCCAUGCUAGCCGAACUUCUUUCUAAACUAGUACAAUCCCCAAUUAUUUACAAUUCACAAAAUUUCUAUGCAAAUUUUAAUUAUUUACACAUUGAUCAUUAAACUCAAAAUUAACACAAAUUCUUUUACAAAAAUAUCCUAAUCAACAUUCAAAUAUAUACAACUACCAUUAAAAAUCAUGAACACCAAAAUUCCAUUACUAACCAAUCCCUAAAACUUCAACAUUUUUAUAAUUUCAUCCUCAGGUUUAAUAGUUUAAGCUACAACGAGUUCAAAAAAUAUAAAAAUUAUUAAAUAUGUGAGAGAGAAACACUUACAUGCACCAAUUUGCUAACCGAAACUUUAAGCUCAAAAAAUGGAGUUUCUUUUUUUCUUUUUCUUUUUUGGUAGGAGAGAGUUGAGAAGAUGAUGAUACCAUAUUUUAUCUUUUGUUUCUUUUCUUUAAUUAAACUAAUUACCAAAUUAACCUUUUAAUCUGAACUAAAUUAUUAACAUAACAUGACCAUAAUUUUCCAUUAACUAACCAUAAGGUUUAUCUAUCAAUCAAGUCCAUUAUUUUAGUUUUUCUUUAAAAAUCAAGCACAUUUAACUAAUAAAAGCUACUUUAGCAUAUUUUACAAUUUAGUCUUUUUUACUAAAUUAACUAACUAGACAUUAAAAUUUCUUAUCCAAAUUUUAAUACGACUCAAAUAUAACUCUAUAAACAUAAAAUAAACAUAAAAUACUAACUCACUUGUUGGAAUUAUGGUCCUGAAAUAACCAUUUUCGAUACUACUGAAAAAUGGGAUAUUACAUUCAAUCUCUAAUUUAUGCUAAUGAAUGUGAGAGAAUAAUUUUCUUUGUAUAGUAAUACUACAACUAGAAUGUGUUUCGAUCCUAUUCUUAGAAACUGAUAGUAGAAACCCAACUUUUAAUUAGAAACCUCUUGUUUUAAAGUUCAAUGGGUAAAAGCAAGUUAUCGUUAUAUGUCUGUGAUACACUAGUAAAACUCAUUAUAGAAAAAAAAAGUUUAAUGGAAACUAGUGUUAUCCAUUGCGUAUAGAGGAUGAAUUUGAAUACUAUUAAUGAAGUUCAUUGUUUAUUGUUUAAAUGUCUAAAGCAAGGGAAACAUUAAAAGAACUCUACCUAUAUAAACAUAAGAAGUGAUGCCACUUCAACAAGUAAAGGUAGGGUCUCUCUUGUAAAUGUUUAUUAUGAACAAGAUAAGCACAUGAUCAUUUUAGUGCUAAAAGUGAACAACCUCUGAUAGAAAUAUAAAUGAAUAUUAUGUGUAGUGUAUUUCAACUUCUAAUACUAGGAGUUGUGGUUCAAUCUUCGGACACCAACGACUUAUUAGAACUUUGAAAAGCAUCCGCUAAUUGAUGGUUCAUAUUGAGAGAUAUCAUCUUAUAUGCAUAAUAUUUGUUGGAGUGAAUGGCUAUAAAGUAUGGUACCAACAUUUAAACUAAGGGUGAUUGUUAGUAGUUUAUAAUGUUGGCAGUAAAAAUAUUUUAUUAUGUAGAAAAGUCUAAUAACUUAUAAUUAUUGGCCAAAUAAUUGUGUUGUAAAGAGAAUUUUUGUAUGUAAAGUUGUCUUAUAAACUUUAUGUAAAGUUGUGUUGUAAAACAACACAAUUAUAUGAAAAGGUAUCUUAUUAAAAGAUAUAUUCAUAUUAAAGGGUAUCUCAUAAAAGAUACAUCUAUUGGAUGUCUAUAUAAAAGACUUUUCUAUUAGUCAUUUAAAUUGUUUUACUUGGAGUGUUGAGGCCUUUAUUGUAUCUUGAAGGUAUUUUAAAAUCUUAAAGAAAGUGCUCUACAUGCCUCAAAGUCGUUAUAUUUUAUAACAUUAUUUUAUUUUUCUAACUUCUAUUUUCCUAUUAUUUAUUUUUCUAACAGCCAGAAUAUAGAAAAAUUAUUAUGUUUCUAACUAUAUAUUAAAUACGAGUACUACUUGGAAGCCAGCACCCACAAACAUGAUAAAAGUUAAUUUUGAUGAGAGUUUUGACGUGGAAGCAAGAAAUGAGGAAGAGGGUAGUUAUGCAGCAUUGUGAUGGUUUUUUAGUCCGACUACGCAACCAUCCAAUUUAGGGUGCGUUCUACAUUAAGGUGAAAAAGCACUUAAAAAGAACAUUUGGUUUUUACACUUAAAAGUGUGAUGGAAAAAUACUUUUUCAUUCAAAUACAAAAAUUAAGAUAUAAAUGCUUUUGACUUUUAGCUUUUACAUUAGAAUGUGAAAAUUAUCAAAUACUAUUAUUUAUAUUAACUAUUUAAAGUGUAUAUAAAAAUUAGAUUAAUUUAUAUUUUAUAUAUCAUUAUAUUAAAUUAUUUAAAUAUUAUUUAUUAUUAUAUCUUUUAAUAAUUUAUAUAUCAUCUAUUUUACAAAUAAUUUAUAUUAAUUACUUCAAAAAUAUUUGGAACUUAUAUUUCAUGUACCAUUAUAUUAAAUUAUUUAAAUAUUACAUAACUUAAAAUGUCCUUUUCUUUAGACAUGAUAGACUUUUAACGGGAAUUUUUUGUAGUAACGGAGAACACCAAAAACUAAUGAGUACAUUUUUUCAUAGCACUUUUCUACCACUUUUCAACUACAACGGUAAUGGAGAACUAAUCCUUACUAAAGUUACCGAAGCACUAGCUUCCACUGUAGCCAUUGAAAUGGGGCUCCAAUUGGGAUUGCAACACAUUAUUAUUAAAAGAGAUGCUCUCUAAGUGGUUUCGAAGUUGAAGGAAGACAAAGAAGACCUACCAACAAUCGGACCUUGAUAGCAAAGAGUUGAAUACUUGCUAAACAGGUUCAGCAAUGUAGGUUUCAACAAAGAAAGAGGCAUGCUAAUGAGGUGGCACAUCAUCUGGCCAAACAGGGUGCAAUGCCCAAUUUCUGCCCGGGCCUAAUCAAAACAGCCCAAAGCAGAAAGCCCAAUUUUUCUAGACCUAGCCCACAACUAUUUUCAGCACCACCAUGCACCCAUUUUCUCCACCACUCUUCCACUCCAGAACACCCACGAACGGUUUCCCUCCAUGCCAUACAUACCUGCAAAAUAGAUUAAUGACUCAUAGCAGUUGACAGUAGAAAGAAAUAACAACAGGAAACGGUUUUGUACUUGGCUAUAAAGCCUUUGAAUUUUUCAUUGUUUGGUUUUUUUUUCUUUCUUUUUUUUUUCAGAGAGAUUGUACACGAAAUACAUACAAAAAUCAAUAGAAAGCAAUUCAAAGGUGAUUUAUCGCUAUUUAUUGUGUUUUUUUUUUCAAUUGGGUUUACAUACAAGUAUAAAAUAUAAGAGAGAACGAGAGGCUUACCGGAGUUAUAUCGCAUUCACGCCGUCGGUAGGACUAGCUCCGUUGGUCACGAACAGAUUUUGGGAGUGGUUGGGGGCUUGAAAGGAGCCUUUCGGCUGGAGAAUAAAGGGAGAGUGAGGGAGAUGAUAUAAUAUCCAAGGCAUUUAGGGUUUUUUUUUUUAAAUAAAAGUUAAAAAGUUUUCUUUUAAGCACAAUUUUUAAAGCGGGUUUUAGGUGAUAAGAAUGAAACAGCAUGGGGAAGGGAAAGGAAUAGCGUGUUUAACUUGGUCCACGUGCAUUUACCCCUUAAAUGGGUAAUUUUCGUUAUCAGUCCUCCUUACUUGCGUCACCCUUUAUUUGAUCCUAUUCUGUUUCUUUUAUUUUUGCCUUGAAUUUUGCGCACCGUUCCAAUUUAGUCCGAGCAUGAGUGUUGCUUUUUUGGGGUUGGGAACAUUUUCAAUUUUAGCCCUUAUACAUUCACGCGCAUUGCGCUUUGGUCCCUAUUUCAAUUUCAAUGGUUUUUUUAUUUGUUAAUUGUCCCUUUAAUUUUGCUUUUCUUCCAAUUAAGUUUUUAUUUAUUUUUUCCAUAAAAUAAGAAUAUAUUAUUUUAACAUAUAGUUUUGUUCAACAAAAUUCAUAUAUAUUUUUGUAUAUAUUAUUUUAACAAAAUAAGAAUAUAUUGUUUUCUUCAUAUGCAUAUUUAUUUGUUUUUUCUUCCAAAAUAAUUUCAUAUAUCAUUUUGUAUUUAUAUACUUUACUUAUAUUAAGUUUGCUUUAUAUCAUGUAUAUACGUAACUUAUACUAAGUUAUCUUUACUCUAAGUGUACAUUAUUGACUUCCUUUUAUUUUAUGUAAAUAUUUCCUUUUAUUUUAUUUUUUUAUGUAUAUUAUUGAUUUUAUGUUAUUUUAUGCUUGUUUAUUUUCUUCUAAGGACCCUAUUUUAAAUGGUAUAUUUUAUUUAUUUUCGUAUGCUAGUACCUUUGUUUUUUUUAUGUAUAAAUUUUCAUUUCAAGUAUUAUUUAUUUAGAUUGACAAAUACUAUGCUAUGUAUUACUUUUUUUAUAUAUAUACAUUAUGUGUCUUGAAAUAUCGUUUAUAUAUUAUUAUGUCGUACAUUAUUUUUAUUUUUAUUAUUUUUUGACCUAUUCCAGACUGUCAUAUAUGUUACCUUAAGAUUUUUAUACAUUUGUUUGAUUGCAUACUAACGAUUCCAAAUUGCAUUUCUUCUAUAUUAUCUAUAUUAUUUGUUAAAACUUGCCACAUACUUUUAUCUCAUGUACAAAACUAAGCUUGUACACAUGUUAUUGCAUCAUGAUCUUUAAAUUCCAACUCUUUGCCCAACAUCAAUCGUUUUUUAUCCCCAAGCAAACCAAACAAGUAUUUUUAAUUCGGUUUUUAUAACUGUUAAUUUAAAAAUUUCCCAAAACAAAGGCAAUGUUUGAUGUUUGAAAUUUUGGAAAUCGUGCCCUAACGUACUGGGUUUCGAUUUUUCGUUUAUCCAAAAUAAUCAAGUAUCCCCUUUAAAGUUUCGUAUGUGUUUUCUAAACUUCAAAACAAGGCAAUGUUCUAUGUUUUGGAAAUCCGAGAAAUCGUGCCCUAACGUGUUGGAUUUCAAUUUUUCGUUGGACCAAAUGAUCGAGUAUCCUUUUGAAAUUUCAAAUAUAUGAGCUUUUGGAAAUUAAGACUCGGUUGUGGUUUCGAGGGUUUAGAAAGUUAUGUCUUAACGUGCUGGAUGUGAUAUUUUAUUCCUUCAUAACAAAAGAAUUCUUAAUGACCAAUUUGAGUUAUUCAAAUAUUUUAAAAGAAAUAGUAUUUCAAAAUAUCUUUUAAAUUUUAGACAUAAGGACAUUGAUUAAUCAAUUAGGUACCAAUUUUGGGCGUCACGAGGGUGCUAGCCCUUCCUCGUGCGUAACCGACUCCCGAACCCUUUUUUCUCGACUUACGUAGACCUGAAAUUAUUGUUUUAAUAAAUCAAAAUGUUUUAUUAAAAUGAUCAAUUUCAAGGUGAUCCGAUCCCACCUCAGAAGGGAUCGGUGGCGACUCCAAACUUUGAUUUUUCAAAGUCGAUCCCCGUUUUUUUCAAACUUUUAGAAAAUGGUUUCGACACAAGGCCUUAAUUGUUUUCCAUCUUUUGUUCAUAUGUUUGUUUUGAAAAGGUAAAACAAAUCCUCACCUAUUGAUGUUAGAACGGUUGAAUUGCUAAAAGCAUGCUGCGUGCAUAACCAUGCUUUAGGUUAGGCUUCAAAUCAAAUAAAUUUUAAAUUAUUUUUAUUUGAAUUUAAUUAUAAAAAUAUAUUAAUAUCAAUAUAAAAUUAUAUACAAUUUUAAGAUAUUUUAUUUUUCAAUAAUAAAACGAAUCAUCUACCAACCCUAAUUCUUCAGUUUUCUUUUUAAUUAGAUGAUAACUCAAGCCAAGCUAACCAAUAAACACCCAAAAUCUACCAUCAUUUUCAUUUUUUUUUCUUUUGUCACAAAGUAGACAGAAGAUUCGGUUUGGAUAAGCUCUACGUUAUUAAGUCAAAAGCUGAAGUAAUUUUAAUCAUAAAUUGUUUUAUUUGUUUAUAAUGCAAAACAAUGACCCAAUUAAUACAAUAAAGCUUUAACUUUGUGGGAAUUUUCAGUCCAAAAAAAAAAAAACAAUUUGUGGAAAUUUUAGAGCAGUUGACCAUUUCUUCCGAAUUAGUUUUCUCACUUCUUGUCCAUAUUCCAUGUAUAUUAUUUCAAGAAAUUAGGUUUAGAAAAUUGCAUAAUUCAACCAUUGAACUAAUAAAUAUUAAAGAAAAAUUGGGUGGCAAAAAUAUCUUAUUAAAAGCGAAUCAUAUACUAUUAAUAGAUUUUAUGAUUAAAUUAGUUUCACGUGUUAACGGGAUAUUAACUUGAUUUAGUAAAUUAUAAAAAUGUCUUUUAAUGUUUAAAAUAAAUUAUAUUAUUUGAAGAUAUUUUAAUUUUUUUAUUAAAAAAGGAUGAUGUCUCAAAUUAACUCACAAUCUAAUUUAAUUUUUUAUUUUAAUAUCGUAAAUGUUUCAUGUUUUAUUAUUAAUUUGUUUCAAAUUAUACAUUUCAUUAUUUAUUUUAUGUUAUUUUUAAACAUAUUUGUGUUCUAAAUACCAAAUUUUCACUUAAGGGUAUCAGAGACGAAUCUAGAGAGGCUAGUAGGGGCCCCGGUCUCCUUAAAAUGAAAAUUAUUAUUUAAGCCCUUUAGAAAAUUUUAAAAUUUUAAAUUAGUAAAUGUAAAAUUGCACUUUGACCCCCUAAAAUUAUAAAAAUUUAAUUUAAUCUUUUAAAAAUUAUAAAGAUAUAAACUAGUAAAAAUUAAAAUUUCAUUUCGAUCCUCCCUAAAACAUAUUUUUGGCUUCACCUAAAGGGUAUGACUAGUAUGAAUAAUUUUCUUUGGAAGUCUUAAACAAACAGGAGUUAAGUAAAAAGGAGUUUUCAUACAUACAUAUUCGGCGUUGAUGUUUCCCUUUCGAAAAUUUAAAUUAAGACAUAGGAAAAGAAACUAAAAUUGAGCUUAAUUUAUGCAGUUGGGUUCAAAAUUUAAUAUUUAAAUAUAAAAAUUCUAAUAAUUCGAUCUGGUCCGUUUCAUCUAGCAGACUAAUAAUAAAUCUUAAAACAUAUUAUAUUUUAAUUUUAAUAAAACCAAAACUGAUACAUUUGACCUACAUCUACAUGUGAUCUAUGCUUAAUUAAAUUAGUCUAAAUUAGACGAGAUCUUGAUUAGGAGUCAUUUAUUUAUAUUAUAAGUCCCUGAAACAUGCAAAACUUACAUUUAAAAAUUAAUAUUUUUACGUUGUUGUUAGAAUAUAGGGUUUGUUAAUGUUUUCGUGUGAAGUCAGCUGUUGACAUUACCAACCAGAUAAUGAAAAGGGAACAUGGCAAUUAUUCCAUCCUAAUUGUCACACACACACACACACCUAAUUAAGUUAAUCCAAAAAUUACCUAACGUUUAGCAUUUCAAUGGUAGAGUCAGCUCUUUCUUCUAGUCUAUCAAAAAAAAAAAAUCAAUUUAACCCCUAACUCUUGGAUGGAAAAGUUUUUGCUAUGAACUUGUUGAAGUGAAUCUAAUGUGAUAUAAACACAUCACAAUCCAUGUGUGUAAUUAAAAAUAAUAGAGAGAGAUUGAAUAAUUUAAAGGGAAAAAAAAAGAAUUUACUCCCUCCACUAACAGGUAACUCUUGCAGCUUGAAUCUACAACGUAUGUAUGAAAGUGAACACCUUUAAUUAAUGAAUAAAUACUAAAGUUCUAGGUUUAGAAUUAAUUAAAUAUCAAUACAAAAAGUUAAUUACUUUUUGAAAUAAGGAUAAAUCGGUUUUUGAGGUUUGAUAAUUUUUCACAUAUCGAGGUUUGAAUUUUUUUAUCUUAAGUUCUAAACUUGACAAUAGUUCUCAAGAUGUGAAGGUUUUUUUUUUAUCCAAAUUAGGCUAUGAACUUAGAUAGAAAUCUUAAAAUUCAACCCUAAUGUAGGUAUAAUUGUCAAGUUAAAAAAAAUUCAAAUCUUAAUAGAAGAAUAAUCUACUAAUUGGUAACCCUAAUAUAAAAACAAUUGUUAAGUUGAAAACUUAAUUUUUUUUAAAAAUUCAAACCCUUAUUAACUUUAGGAUUUAACCCUUUGAAAUAUUGCGUUAAUUAAUAAGUGUAAGAAUUAUUUUGUGUUAAUGAUUAAAUAAAUAUUUAAGUGGAGAUCAAGUUUUACCUCAUUUGUCAAUUGUCAGGUGAAGAAUAUAUACCCUAAAGGCCUAUCAAAAACGGACCUAUCUCUAUAUAUCUUUACUAAUUUACUAUUCAUUUUUAAUGAAAAGCAAUAAAUUAAUGAAAACGCUAUAAAACGAAAACUACAUGAAUAAAUUAUAUGUGUAAAAUUGAAAUAUUUCGUGACGACAUUAUUGAAAAAAAUAAUCAUUAACCUUAAAUAUAAACAAUUAUGACAUUUCUAUAAAAUAUCAUUUAAUAUAUUGCAUCAAAGUUUUAAAAAAUGUUAUGUGUAUACUUUUACCUCGUAUAAAAAAGUCUUUCAUUUCUCAAUUCUUAUGGCAUAGUAAAUUUAUUAUUAAUUUUUAAAAAAAAUGGUUAUUAUUUGUGUAUUAAAUAAUUAUUGGGAUAAAUUUUAAAGUUGUACAUGGAUUUUGGUUACAUGUUAAUUAUAAACAUUAACUUUGAUUUUAUAUAAUUUUAUAUAUGAAAUUUUAAUUUGAUCCAAUUCUCAUAAAUUAUUAACAUAAUUAUUGAUAUAAUAUCAUUUUAUGUUUAUAUGCUAUAUACAGAAAUAAUUAUAUUUAUUCAAUAUAAAAAUUAAUUGAUGUAUUUAUUUCUUUAAACGUAUAUGAUUGAAUCAAAAUUAAAACAUCAUGUAUACAUUUGAACCAUAACUAAAAUUUUACAUAUAUAAUUAUACAAAAUUACAAUUCAUAUACGUAAUAAACUAAAAUUCAAUUUUUUUAUAAAAUUAACCUAAAAAAUUUAAUUAAUUACAUAAAUGACCCUUUUUUUUAUUAAACACGUAAAUGACCUAAAAUCUACCGUGAAAAUUGGUGGAAGCAAAGAGUUUGGCACCACCAACAUGCCACGUCAGCAACCAAGAUAAAAAAAAUCAACUUUUUGGUAGAGCCAUGCAUAAUAGUGCUACUUGUAUAAAUAUCAGGAAAAUACUAUAAUUUCUAAAAAAUAAGGGACUUUAAUAAAAAAAAAUUCUAUUUUCUGGUGGAGCCAAAUAAAUUGGCGCCACCAGUUUCCAAUGUGAUUUUUUUUAAAGUUUUCUAAAAUUUUAAAUAUAUUAAAAAAUGUUAAGUAUAAUUAAUUUUAAAAGUUUAAUAUAUUUAAAAAUUUAAUAUACUUAAUAUAUAUUUUUAAUAGGUAAAGAAAAAAAUGAUUUUUUAAUAUAUUUAAAAUUUUAAAAAACUUAAAAAAUUUAAAUACUUUAAAAAAUAUUAAGUAUAACUAAUUUUAAAAUUUUAAUAUAUUUAAUAUAUUUUUAAAAUAUUUUUAAAAUUUUUAAUAUAUUUAAAUUUUUUAAAGUUUUUUAAAAUUUUAAAUAUAUUAAAAAAAAUUUCCUCAUUACCUAUUAAAAAUAUAUUAAAUAUAUUAAAAUUUUAACAUAUAUUUUUAAAAUAUAUAUUAAAUAUAUUAAAAUUUUAAAAUUAGUUAUACUUAACAUUUUUUUAAUAUAUUUAAUUUUUUACUAUUUUUUAAAAAUUUUAAAUAUAUUAAGAAAAUAUUUUUUAUAUUUACCUAUUAAAAAUAUAUUUUAAGUAUAUUAAAUUUUUAAAUAUAUUAAACUUUUAAAAAUAAUUAUACUUAACAUUUUUUAAUAUAUUUAAAAUUUUAGAAAACUUUAAAAAAAAUUACAUUUGAAACUGAUUGGCUCCACCAGAAAAUAGAAAAUUUUUAUUAAAGUCCCCCCAUUUUUUAGAAAUUAUAAUAUUUUUUUGAUAUUUAUACAAGUGGCGCCAUUCUACAUGGCUCUAUCAAAAAGUUGAUUUUUUUUAUCCUGGUUGCUGACGUGGCAUAUUGGUGGAGCUAAACUCUUUACCUCCACCAAUUUUCACAGAAAAUUUUAAGUUAUUUAUGUGUUUAAUCAAAAAAAUAGAUCAUUUAUAUAAUUAAUUAAAUUUUUUAAAUUAAUUUUAUAAAAAAAACCCUAAAAUUCAUAUAUAUAACUGUAAGAUUUAUGUCCACAAUUAUCUAAAGCUAAUCGGUGAUAAUUACUAUGGAAAUUCAAUGUACUUAACUAAUUGAUUGAUAGGAACAAGCAUGAUGAAAUCCAUGAUUGGGAAGAGAGAGAAUUCAAAAACUGAACGCCCCAUUAAUCCAUGCGAAUAAACUUUUUCGGUAUACAUCAUAAUUCAUUUAAUUUUAUCAUUAUCUCUAUGCUAUAAUUAUGUUUAAACUAAAAUACUUGAGACAUUAAUAGUUUGUGUUAUAUAAAUUAUGAUAUCCAUAUAUCCAUAUUAUAUAUAUAUUUUUAUAUUAUGAAUGCAUUUAAAAAAAAAUUAUGAAAAAUGUAGAGUCCGCAAAUAAAAAAUGGCUUACAAAUUAACAGAAAACCAAUUUUAUUUCUUGUAAAUUGAUUUACCAUAUUAAAAAGUGUAAAUCUUUUUUUAAAUUUAUUUACGAGUAAUUUUAUUUUUAUAAAAAUUAAUUUUAGCCAAGCCUAAUAUUAUUUUAUUAAUAAUAUUAUUUUUAUUUUUAUUUUUAAACAAUUUAAAAUUAUUAAUAUCAAAUAUUAUAAUGUUGAAUCCUAGUAACAUACAUAUUAAAUUAUUUAUAUUAUGUUAUAUUACAAUUUUAUUUUAAUAAUAAAUUUUAACAACAAUAAUUUUAAAUUUUAAAUCGUAUUUUUAAUAUAUUAUUGAAAAAUAUUUAUAUUAAUAUUUUAAUAAUAAAUAUAUAUUAAAAUUUAUAAAUAUUUAAUAAUAAAUUUUUUAUAGUAUAAAAUAUGAAUAUUUUAAUUAUAUAGAUAUGAGUAUUUGUUUAAAUCAUGCUUAAGUUCAUUUAUCUCCCAACUCUAAUGUGUCAUUAUACACUGUCAUAUAUAUAAUAUAUGUAAUUUAAGCAUUAUUUAUUAUUAAAUUUAUAUAUGAUAUUAAUUAUAAUAAAAUAUUAUCUUAUUAUAAAAGAAAUUCCAAUUGUCAAAAAGAAAUGUUACUCUAAUAUUUUGUAAUAAGUAUAUUUAUAUUGUAUUUGUUUCACUAAUAACAAAUUUAAAAUGAUUUUAGAAAAAAAUAUCAAAAAAUAAAAAAUAUUUUAAUCAAAAUAAUUCAAAUAAAAAAAACUAAACUUUUCCAUGAAAUCAAUCCAAUUUUAAGAAAACAUUAAAAUUGUUUUAGGUGAAACAAAAGGAACCUAUAUUUUAUAUAGUAUUUGAAAAGUUGUUGUAUCUAGAAUUAUUAUCUUUAAUUUUUUUUAGGUCUAUUUCUAAUUUUCAAAAAUUGAGAAGUUAAUUUCUCUAUUUUACUUUAUCAGUCCGUGCUUAUUUUUUAUUAAUUUGUUGUGUAUAAAUGGUUAAACUAUUGAUUUUUGUUAAUUACUAGCAUGUAAAUUGUUAAACUACUUGUUCCCAAGUCAACAGUAAAGCUUAAUAGUAUUAUCAAUUUGGAAUAAUUUCUGAGAUUUUUCUUUUAUUUUGCGUGAUUAAGAUAUUUUUCAUGUACGGUUUAAGGUUUAUGAAGACUAAUCCUUUCGAGUUUAUAACUACCCUUUUUAAUAAUGUCGUCUUUAAAAUUCGAGUUCUCUUUCUUGUAAGUACAAUAUGCCUUACAUUUAUAACUAAUACUUCUUAUUUUUGUAAAAUAUAAGAAUCAAAUUAUGUAGUAAGAUUAAUUUCUAGAUUUUUUAAAUUUAAAAUUUAACAUUUAAAAUAUUAUCAAUCACAUCACACACAAAACCAAAGAGCAAGAGAAUCUAAAAAACACGUGGACCAUUAAUUUAGGAAUGGACAGAAACUCAUGCAAAAUGGUUGGAAAACACGUACAGGAUUAUAUAUACUAAUCAUUUUUAUUAUUAAGCAGAAUUGGAAAUAAAUAAAUACGGGCGAAACCACUGAAUAAUACAGCAUUGAAAUGCAAUUUGUCUACAUCAUUAUUGUUCUUCACUUCAAACGCGGAGACUAGUCUAGGGUCCCAAUCUUUUGCUUUAUCUCUCUAGAUAUAUCCUUUUCAAACUAUCUUUUUGUAGCUUUAUUUGCAUCACAGCAUUAUCUUUUCCUGCAAACAACUGUUUAAAGAUUAAAACAUGCAAAACAUUCUGAAAUAAUGCACCCUGACCAGAUGACAAAAAAAAAAGAGGAUUCUAAUGUAUCUUACCUUGGAUUGGAGCACGGUCAAAGCCGUGGCUUAGUAGUGGUGAGGAGGAGGGGGUGAAGCGUAGACAUAAUGGGGUGGGGGUGGAGGAGGAGACUUGUAUUUGUAAACUGGAGGAGGAGGUGGUGGAGACUUGUACUUGUAAGGGUGCUUGGGGGGUGAUGGUGGGGGUGGUGGGGGUGACUUGUACUUGUAGGGGUGCUUGGGUGGUGACGGUGGGGGUGGGGACUUGUACUUGUAAGGGUGCUUGGGGGGUGAUGGUGGUGGUGGUGGAGGUGACUUGUACUUGUAGGGGUGCUUGGGUGGUGACGGUGGUGGUGGUGGGGGGGACUUGUACUUGUAGGGAUGCUUUGGUGGGGAUGGUGGUGGUGGUGGUGGGGACUUGUACUUGUAGGGAUGCUUAGGUGGGGAUGGUGGUGGUGGUGGAGACUUGUAUUUGUAAGGAUGCUUUGGUGGUGAUGUUGGUGGAGGUGGUGGGGACUUGUACUUGUAAGGGUGCUUGGGUGGUGAUGGAGGUGGAGGUGGUGGAGACUUAUACUUGUAAACUGGAGGUGGUGGGGGUGGAGACUUGUACUUGUAGGGGUGCUUGGGUGAUGAUGGAGGUGGAGGUGGUGGAGACUUAUACUUGUAAACUGGAGGUGGUGGGGGUGGAGACUUGUACUUGUAAGGGUGCUUGGGUGGUGAUGGUGGGGGUGGGGACUUGUACUUGUAGGGGUGUUUAGGUGGUGAUGGUGGUGGUGGUGGUGGGGACUUGUACUUGUAAGGAUGCUUGGGUGGUGAUGGUGGUGGAGGUGGAGGAGACUUGUACUUGUAAGGAUGCUUGGGUGGUGAUGGUGGUGGAGGUGGUGGAGACUUAUACUUGUAAACAGGAGUUGGUGGGGGAGGAGAUUUGUACUUGUAAGGUUUCUUGUGUGGUGGUGGUGGAGGAGAGUAGACCGGAGGAG
RNAcentral lists this long non-coding RNA (50884 nucleotides) under Gossypium barbadense (sea-island cotton). Its description in RNAcentral is "long non-coding RNA (GBAR_LNC001208)". The stretch from base 31832 to 31938 matches the Rfam family "Plant small nucleolar RNA R71". Lineage: Eukaryota; Viridiplantae; Streptophyta; Magnoliopsida; Malvales; Malvaceae. The record is from RNAcentral.